GAGCGUGGAGAAUAAGAAGUGCCUUGGUGUGCUGUCAGGGCACACUGGAAGUGUCAAGUCAUUGUCAUGCCAUUCUUCAAAUCCUGGUCAGUUGUAUAUCUUGAACUUGGUUAACUUAGUUUGUGGCAUGUCUGCAUAGGUUCAUGAACUCCAUUGUUAUUGUCUAUGCAGAUCUUAUUGUUUCCGGUUCAAGAGAUGGUUCUUUUGCACUUUGGGAUCUAAGAUGUGAUCCCAAAACCCCAAAUGGCCAUGGUGAAGCAUGCCUCAUGUAUGUCAUCUAAUGGCUACUGUAAUCUAAAUGCUCCUUUUUAACUGCAACCAUCAAUUUCUGUAGCAAUGUAGCAUCUUUCGCUGAAUUCAGCUGUUUUUACAUGUUAGGUCUUCUGCUGUUGUCAAAGAAGCGCACAGUCCCACGCGAAGGAAUCGGACAAGGGCUCGAGCAAAGGUAUUGAAUUUGCAUAGAAUCUUUUUGGCUGGGGACUGUACAUUUCCGUAGGUUCAGUUGCUGAUAUUGGUCAUCUUUAGGGAGCUUCAACAAGCAUCACAUCAGUUCUGUAUCUGAAAGACGAUAUCUCCAUUGCUACUUCUGGUGCUGCAGACAAGUAAGGCGUUGGCCCAUCCUAUUUAUUCUGCACUUACUACAUAAGUUAAUAUAGUUUACAUGGCUAAUUAUGCAUGCCAGUGGCAUGUUUCAAUUAUGAACGCACCACUUUUAAUACAAUGCACCUCUGCUGUAGUUUGAUUUUAUCUAACUCUUAAAAUGUAUUCCAGCGUUGUGAAAUUUUGGGAUACACGGAACCUUAAAGCGCCCAUCUCCAACAAAACCUCUCAAUCAACAGCACAACCUUCGGUAAGCAAGCAGCUUGCAAAUUGCAACAGAAUGCAUUUGUAAUUCAGUUUCAAGGCUAACAGGGAAUCCUUUCAUUCAGAAGGAGGGGGUGACACAUGGGAUCUCUUGCUUGUCUCAAGACUCGUAUGGUGCGUAUAUUGCUGCGUCAUGCAUGGAUCACAGGUGAGAAUAAUAUUUGACCACUACACAGAACUGCAAAAAACUGAUGUCACUGGAGGGAAUUGCUUCUGACUUCAUAAGCUUUCCAAUUUCAGGAUCUAUCUGUAUAGUACUCUCCACAUGGACAAGGGUCCAAUAAAGACUUACACUGGCAGCAAAAUUGAGUCUUUCUUUGUCAAGGUGAGUAGCUAACUGGUUUAGCCUUCUCUUCCAGCUGCAUAUUCUUAGUUUCUUUCAUGUGUUUUAUUUAACACCUGCUUUGGUGCUUGAAUACAGUCUGCUAUUAGUCCUGAUGGGACUCAUAUUUUAGGUGGUUCGAGCAAUGGCAAUGUUUACUUGUGGCAGGUAUUUGUUGCAUUCCUAUUACCUUUUCUUUUACAUUUCAUACACUGUAUUCAUGUUAAAUUGCUAAUUCCUUCUCACUUAUGUAGGUGGAUCAGCCUGAAAAUGGGCCUAUAGUUCUGAAAGGCCAUGAGGGUGAAGUCACUUCAGUUGACUGGUAUGAUCUAUCCAGAAUGGCUACUUCUUAAUGUCUUACUGUUACCAUAGUGCUCAUGUUGCAAUGCCAAUUUUGCAAUUUCAGGUGCUCUUUGGAGGUUGGAAAGAUAGUAUCAUCAUCUGAUGAUUCCACGGUGAGUCUUGUUAAAAGUUUACAAGUUUCAUCUUAAAGUUGCCUUGUCAAACACUACAACAAAAUGAACCCAGUCAUCUCACCAUGAUUAGGGGCAUCUAUAAUAUUUGUUGUCAUCUAAUCUACAAAUGGAAAGAACAAGAGUUUGGUUAGGAACUUGAAAACUGCUACUGACAGCCUGACACUUUGUUCUGUGCAUCAGGUUCGUGUAUGGAACACCAAGAAAAUAGACUGCACCAACAUUAGUUCCCCAACAGUCAUCCGUAAGAGGGUAACUGCUCCAAACAUCGACUGCCCAAGAUCGGCUAGCCAUGAGCGAGCGACUAGUUCAAGAGAUGUAGCAGCCUGCACCAGUGCUGACAGUGAAUUGCCAACCAGUUCACACUCACCCCUCCGGCCAAGAGUACUGGAGUUUGGCACGCCUGAGUCUGCGAAAAAGAGAGCCUUUUCGGUAUUUCGGGAGGAGGCCUUGGAUACUAGGAACAGCCCAGGAGCUCAAAUGAGCAGUCCCUCUUCAGUCCUGAACCCACCGCCUUCGCUGAAAAGGAAAACUAUCCGGGACUACUUUGGCAGCAGCACAUCUUGAAGUCAAAACUUUCUGACAAAUAAGACAGUAUCAUGGAUUCUUCUGAGCUGCCCUGAGGAGCUUUCUUAACUUAUGGUGAGAAUCUUGUUUUUCUGCAAGAACUUACUCUGCUGCUAAUUGACAGUUCGGCAUGCUAACUCAUUACUCUCAUUUUUCUUCUACGCAGGCCAAGCUUGUUCAGCGGUUACGGGACCUGCAACUUUUGGAAAAUCCCUGUCUUGCUGAUCUGGUCAUAUGCUGAUGAUUGAUCUGAUGAAGUGCCGUUGUACAUGAUAUAUAUUGUUAAAACCAUCUGCCUUUUCUCUUUGUAUUUUAUUUCCUCAUUGAGCUUGUUAGGUUGUGACUUGAGGAAAUCUUGUUAUUAGUAACAAAAUUAAAGAGAUCUCUGUGAGAUUUCCCUAGUGCAUUGUUAGUAAUUAAAGAAUGAUCUAGUAAAAAUCAAUGUUGACAAUUAUCUCUUUGAACAUGAGAGUAAAGGAAUUUGGACUUGUGGUUGGUUCCUGGCUAUAACGCCUUCCAUGAGUUCUGUGCUGUGCAUAGCAAUGUCAUAUAUUGUUUGCCUUUAGGCUGGCCAAUGUUGGUCAGCUUAUAAAAUGAUCCAUGGGCCAUGGUCAAUAAUGGAGAUUAUUUUGGCAUGGCUGGAAUUAUUAAGAAAUAUAUUUUUACUUGUUUGAAUUAAAUGCAUGAAACCUGCAAUCUUUUAAUGCCUCUGGAGCUUGCAAAAGAACAUAUCAAUCUGGACUUAUGGUCAAUAGUUGAAACUAUCUGGACACUUUGACCUGCCCUUACCAUCAACAAGCUUUGCUCAAAAUAUCUUAGAAAUUAGAGGAAGUACUUCACUGCUAAUAGCUACUAGCUUAAUGCACAUAUUUUUCUCAGGGAUCACAAUCAUAUUGUUUGAACAUAGGCCUGAUUUGGUUAUGCAUCUUUCCAUGCCUGACCAAGCUUUGACCUAGCCCAUGCCGCUCCUAUGGUCACUACAUUUUUGGUACACAGAGUUUGUUCAUGCUUCCAGUCAAAUGCCCAUGUCACAUCAACAUCCCUUGUAUUACUACCUAAUAACCAAAUUUUCAUACUUCAUUUAUACGUAAACAUAUUUAGUUUAGAAAACAUAGUUGCAAGAAAGCUCUAGCUAUAUUUCUUUAGCAAGAGCAUGCCAUAUUCAUUGUGCUGUUUAAAGACACGCUCCUAAUUACGAUGAAGUCUGAAAAAUACUACAACACAAUCCAAUCUGUGUUAGAGUUGUGUCGAAUAUUGUGUACAAGGUAGGUUACAGUUGAACUAAGAGUUGUAUUGUGUUUACAUAGGAUGUGGAGUUGUGUCCUAAUAGGACAGUUGUAUCCUAGGCCUCUCAUAUAUAGCGGGGGUAGACACAGGAUGUAACCUAUGCCAACAUAAUAGCAUAGGCACGCAAGGGGGAGCCGGCGCGUGUGCCGGCGCCCGGGUGGCCGGGUGCGGUUUUGUGACGGUGUCACGGGAAGGAGCGUCCGUAGUCAGGCCCCGGGGAUGUAGUCAUAUCGGUGAACCUCGUUAACAAAUCUCGGUGUCGUGCUCGUGUGAUUGCUUGGUCCUCGGAUGAUCGAUGAAGUGCCUUGGAUUUAAUUCUAACAAGUGGUAUCAGAGCAGCAAUCGGACGUGAGCACACCAGCAAGAAAUCUGCUACAUUCUAACAAUCUGAAUAAAGAAGAAAGCACACCAGCAAGAAAUCUGCUACGCCCUAAAGGGAUCAAAAGCUGUUUCAUGGGUGACACAAGUUUUCUAUGAGGGUGACACCGCAACAAGAUUUAGCAUAGCGAUUUUGAAUUUUGGACCCCGGUUGGAAGGGAAUCGAGGGAGACAAUAAGGGUGUACAACGACACGUAAGAGGUUGGGGAUCGUGAGCCUGCUGUGCUCCUUGGUAGCUGGCUUGAAGCCUUGUGCUCGUGUUUAUAUAACCACUCUCUCACUUGGAAUAUUAUAGGGGGGAGAGACAUCCCAUAGAGCCAUACAAACUCGAAGUUUUAGGUGAGUUUGAGGGAUCUCAAAAGGCUACAACAAUGCCGAGAGUAAGGGAGCUUCGAGGUGUCUUUAUCUUUGACUUGAACCGGUAGUCGAGCACUUAUCUCGUCAAAAGAAGGGGAUUCUCUAGGCAGCCUUCUCUUUGAUCCAAGCCACUAAUCAAGAUGCUUUUCUCGUUGCUUCUCCUAACAUAAGAGUAGGUCAUGCUCCACAAUGCAACUGGAUUUAUUUAAGAAACAUCUAUAUGUCAAGAUACCCUCUAAUUUCACACCAUAAAUACUUAUCUAAGAUACCCGAAUAUGCACUUUGGACCUUAGGCUCCACCGAGCCCUUUUCCUUUUCUUUGAAAAACCACCCCAUAUAUUAAUUAAGAAAAUAUCAUACUAUCGUUCAUUACAUAAUUUGUCAAGCGGGAGGGAACACUCCCAACUUAUAACCCAUCAGUCUAGAGUUUAAACAAAAAAUUGCAAGUUUCAUGAGAAACUCUGUUGUCGUCCUAUGUCUCCUAUUUAAUCUUCACAUAUCCUGCUUUUCUUUUGGGGAAAUAAUCAAAAUACAUUUUAGAAGUUUCAAUUUUUUGUUGGAAAAAAACGUCCCACAUGGUUAUAGAGAUGUAUUCUACAUAUGUGUAAUAUUUUGUUUGUAAAUAAUUUAACACGUGAUUUAGAAAAAUACAUAGUUUUGGAAAGAACAAAUAAAACAUCUCUUCAUAAAAAGCGAUGAAAGUAAAAUUUCAGAAUAUAAAAGAAUAUUUUUUUUCAUUUUUUAUAGCUCACACUUUUUUUUGUAAAAAGAUCUCCAUUCUAUUAAUAAUAUGUAAAAACAAUACAAAAUUCUCAAAGGUAAAAACAAAAUACAACUAGGUACACGAACCAACUAGCGACAACAACAAUCACUAGAGCAAGCCGAAUGUGCGCCAUCUCAUAGCCUUGCUUCGUGAUAUCUCCAGCUAGUAUGGUGCCUACAAGAUGCAUAUAAAUUGGGCCCGAAACACAAGGGCUUUGUAGUACAUGACAAGUUUCCCUCAGUUGAGAACCAAAGUAUCAAUCAGUGAUUUUUUGCAACACCAAUGAUCACCAUAUGCACUCAACUAAAAACCUUCUAUUGGUCUCCAACUUAGAGCAUCUCCAGCCGCGCCCCCAACAAGUCCCCCAGACAACUUUUUCCGUGUCGGCGCCGAAAAAACGCCCCAGUCGCGCCCCCAAGAUGCCGAAAUCCGCCAGUUCGGCCCGUUUUUGGGCCGAACCCGGCGCACUAGGGGGGGAGGCGCUCGGGGGCUCCGGCGCAAGUGAAAAGCACGCCUGGCCCACACUGUCAGGCGAAAAGUCAAGCCUAUCGUCCAGAUUCGCCUCUCACCCCCCGCGCGCUCGGCCCCCAACCGACUGAUCCCGGCGCCGCCCACUGCCCACCACCGCUAGAUAGCCCAUUUCCCGCCAGAAAAAGAGUAGAGGUUUUGCCAAGGCGGCCUCUCCACCAUCGGUUGGGCGAGUUUUUUGGUGUUUCGGCCACAGAGGGGCAGUGUAGCGGCGGGUGCGCGCCCAUCGCGCCCACAAGGUGUUCGGCGAUUUGCGUGCCUCGGCAAUGGACUCGGACGACGAGGAGGCGCUCACCAUGCUACUGGAGGAGGAAGCCGAGGCCGACGUCUAGGAAGAGGAACAUCUCAUGGUCCUCGCCACCCUCGUCGGCCUGCUGGCGAGCAAUGAAAAGCCGCGGCGAGGUGGCUCGGCGUCGGGGUGGAUUAAAGCAAAGAACCGGCAUCGUCUUGAAGGCUACUGCAUGCUCUACUCUGACUACUUCGCCGACGCUCCACUGCAUGGUGACAAAGUAUUUCGGCGCCGUUAUCGGAUGAGCCGAAAGCUUUUCCUCAGGAUUGUGAAUUCCAUCUGGGAGUUCGACAGCUACUUCAAGUGCAAGAAGGAUUGCACCGGCAAACUUCGAUUCACCUCAAUCCAAAAGUGCACGACAGCGAUGAGGAUGCUUGCAUACGGAGCUCCCGGUGAUUCACUCGACGACUAUGGGCGCAUGGCCGAGUCCACCACCAUUGAGUGUUUCUGCAAGUUCUGUCGGGCAGUGGCGGCAGUGUUUGGACCGCAAUACUUGUGAACACCCAAUGCGGAAGACAUUGCUCGGAUCCUAGCACAGAAUGCAGCAAGAGGAUUUCCUGGGAUGCUUGGAAGCAUUGACACAUGCAUUGGAAAUGGAAGAAUUGCCCAUUUGCUUGGCAGGGGAUGUAUAAAGGCGCCAAAGGCGGUUGCUGUGUAAUACUUGAGGCGGUGGCCACACAAGACCUCUGGAUUUGGCACUCCUUCUUUGGUAUGCCAGGAACUCACAAUGACAUCAACGUGCUGCAGUGCUCCCCUGUCUUUGCCAAGCUUGUUGAAGGCCAUUCUCCUCCGGUGAACUUCGAGGUCAAUGGACGGCACUACAACAAGGGGUACUACCUAACUGAUGGCAUGCAUCCGAGAUGGUCUACAUUUGUGAAGCCUAUUUCAAAUGAUGUGCCAGGAGGCAAGAAGUCCCACUUAGCCCAGGUGCUGGAGGCUUGCAGAAAGGAUGUCGAGCGGGCAUUUGGUGUGCUCCAAUCUUGAUUUAUUGUUGUCCGAUACCCUGCUCAGACCUAGUCGAAAGAUCAAAUGUGGGAGAUCAUGACUUGCUGUGUCAUCUUGCACAACAUGAUCAUCGAGAGCGAGCAGGAAGAGCCAGUAUUUGACACUGAACCAUACUACAGGCAGGGUCCUCUAGCCGAAGUUGAUCACUAGCUACCGGCAACCUGGACUGCCUACCUCAAUAUGCGUCAGGAGAUCUGAGACCCACAAGUGCAUCAUCAACUGCAGCAGGAUCUGGUGGAGCACCUAUGAAGGAUCAAGGGCGACACCUAGCUCGACGUGUGACGAAAUAUGAGUUCUUAUUUGUUGAACUAUAUAAAUUGUAUUGAACUAUUUGUUGUUGCACUAUUUUGUUGAACUAUUUGAUUUUCUGUGAUGAACUAUGUGCUAAACAAUUAUUUAUGUUGAGAAUUCAACGCCGAACCACGCCGAAUAUGGGUCGAUUCUCGCCGAUAUCGGGCCAUUUUUUUGCCGAAAAUGGGCCGAAAAGCGGCCAGGAAUGGGCCAAUAUCGACGACUGGGGGCGACGGCUGGAUGCCCAACCGCCCCCAUAGCCGAUUCUACAGCCGGCUCGCCCCCAGGCGGCGACUUUUUUGCCUCCUGGGGGGGCCAACGGCUGAGGAUGCUCUCGGACAAAUGAGAUUGUCGGUUUCCUUAGUUUUGCUAGCUACAAGGAUUAAUGUGCAGUGUGGUGAAAAUAAUUUCAUAAGCGAUGAAAGUAAAAAAAAUCAGAAUAUAAAAUAACAGAAAAUAAAGUGACCGAGUUUGUGAUUAUGAGGAAUAAAUAAUCGGGAUCCAUACCUUAGCUACUGGCAUUUCUUCAGAAAAGCAUAUAGAUGUGGUGAACGAAUUACAAUUGCAUAUCAAUGUUUAUGUUUAAUCAUACAUGUCAUGAUUGCAUAUAGGCAUUACGUCCAUCUAUUCAUAGGACGUUAUCCAAUUCCAUCUAUAGCUAAUACUUUACCUAAUAAUGCUAUCCAACAUGCAUAUCUAAAUAUUAAGUAAAAAUAAAGCAUUGCAUUAAACAAAGUGAGAUAAUGUAGAGAAUGUUAUUGUCUUUACCUAAAGUUCAUCAUCAAGGCAACUAGAAAGUUACCUUUUUAUUCUUAGUGGCAACAACACAAUACAACCUUCUGUCUUCGCCAUUAAGAUAGAUCACUUAUAAGCAUAAAUCCAACUAACAUACACAAUUCCCUCUUAAAGAUCAUCCAUCUAAUCAUGUCAAUUGGAAUAAUAAUAGACCAGCUAUCAUAUAUGUUCAUAAAUCAUGCAACAAAGAACCAAAACAAAACCAGAUAAAAUCCAUAUAUAAUCUGUUCAUUAAGUGACUGAAACAAACACACCGACAAUUACAUCAGAUGAAUCAUAAUCAUGUAGGACAACUCAUGUGAUCUUUCUAUCGAAGAACAAGGGUGAGAUGAUGCCACAUAGCUAAUGUUAUGGACCCAUAAUCCAAGGACUACUACUAACAUGUGGUCAUCAGAGCAGCAAUAUUGAUGAAGAUAGCUCCGUCGAUGAAUUUCCCCUCAGAUAGAGGAUCGGAAAAUAUCUCCAUAUUGAAUCACCUAGAAACGCGGGGUGACGGCGGGAGAAAAAAAUCUCAAUGAAUCUUUCUGGGUAUAUAAAGGCGCAGGGGUCGAGAGGCGUGCCCUAGGGGGUGGCACGACCCUUAUGCGUGGUCCAGGCCCAGACUAUGCCAACCCACCACAUACGUGUUGGGUUUCGUAGUAAUUUCAAAAAAUUUCCUACGCGCACACAGGAUCAUGUGAUGCAUAGCAACGAGGGGAGAGUGUUGUCUACGUACCCAACGCAGACCGACUGCGGAAGCGAUGACACGACGUAGAGGAAGUAGUCGUACGUCUUCACGAUCCAACCGAUCAAGCACCGAAACUACGGCACCUCCGAGUUCGAGCACACGUUCAGCCCGAUGACGAUCCCCGGACUCCGAUCCAGCAAAGUGUCGGGGAAGAGUUUCGUCAGCACGACGGCGUGGUGACGAUCUUGAUGAACUACAGCAGCAGGGCUUUGCCUAAACUCCGCUACAGUAUUAUCGAGGUAUAUGGUGGCAGGGGGCACCGCACACGGCUAAGGAAUAGAUCACGUGGAUCAACUUGUGUCAACUUGUGUGUUUAGAGGUGCCCCUGCCUCAGUAUAUAAAGGAGCCAAGGGGGGAGGAGGCGCCGGCCAGGAGGAGGUGGCGCAGGAGGAGUCCUACUCCUACCGAGAGUAGGACUCCCCCCCCCAAUCCUAUUCCAACUAGGAUUCCCAAGGGGGAGAGAGAGAGAGGGCUGGCCGGCCACCUCUCCUAGUCCUAAUAGGACUAGGGGAAGGGGGGGAGGCGCGCAGCCCUGGUGGGCAGCCCUUUCACCUUUCCACUAAGGCCCAUGUAGGCCCAUAUGACUCCCGGGGGGUUCCGGUAACCCUCCCGGUAACCCGGUAAAAUCCCGAUUUCACCCGGAACACUUCCGAUGUCCAAACAUAGGCUUCCAAUAUAUCAAUCUUUACGUCUCGACCAUUUCGAGACUCCUCGUCAUGUCCGUGAUCACAUCCGGGACUCCGAACAACCUUCGGUUCAUCAAAAUGCAUAAACUCAUAAUAUAACUGUCAUCGUAACCUUAAGCGUGCGGACCCUACGGGUUCGAGAACAAUGUAGACAUGACCGAGACACGUCUCUGGUCAAUAACCAAUAGCGGGACCUGGAUGCCCAUAUUGGCUCCUACAUAUUCUACGAAGAUCUUUAUCGGUCAGACCGCAUAACAACAUACGUUGUUCCCUUUGUCAUCGGUAUGUUACUUGCUCGAGAUUCGAUCGUCGGUAUCCAAUACCUAGUUCAAUCUCGUUACCGGCAAGUCUCUUUACUCGUUCCGUAAUACAUCAUCUUACAACUAACAUAUUAGUUGUAAUGCUUGCAAGGAUUAUGUGAUGUGUAUUACCGAGAGGGCCCAGAGAUACCUCUCCGACAAUCGGAGUGACAAAUCCUAACCUCGAAAUACGCCAACCCAACAUCUACCUUUGGAGACACCUGUAAUGCUCCUUUAUAAUCACCCAGUUACGUUGUGACAUUUGGUAGCACCCAAAGUGUUCCUCCGGCAAACGGGAGUUGCAUAAUCUCAUAGUCAUAGGAACAUGUAUAAGUCAUGAAGAAAGCAAUAGCAACAUACUAAACGAUCAGGUGCUAAGCUAAUGGAAUGGGUCAUGUCAAUCAGAUCAUUCAACUAAUGAUGUGACCUCGUUAAUCAAAUAACAACUCAUUGUUCAUGGUCAGGAAACAUAACCAUCUUUGAUUAACGAGCUAGUCAAGUAGAGGCAUACUAGUGACACUCUGUUUGUCUAUGUAUUCACACAUGUAUUAUGUUUCCGGUUAAUACAAUUCUAGCAUGAAUAAUAAACAUUUAUCAUGAUAUAAGGAAAUAAAUAAUAACUUUAUUAUUGCCUCUAGGGCAUAUUUCCUUCAGUCUCCCACUUGCACUAGAGUCAAUAAUCUAGUUCACAUCGCCAUGUGAUUUAACAGCAAUAGUUCACAUCACCAUGUGAUUAACACCCAUAGUUCACAUCGCUAUGUGACCAACACCCAAAGGGUUUACUAGAUUCAGUAAUCUAGUUCACAUCGCUAUGUGAUUAACACCCAAGGAGUACCAAGGUGUGAUCAUGUUUUGCUUGUGAGAGAAUCUUAGUCAACGGGUAUGUCAUAUACAGACCCGUAAGUUUUUUGCGAAUUCUAUGUCUACAAUGCUCUGCACGGAGCUACUCUAGCUAAUUGCUCCCACUUUCAAUAUGUAUCUAGAUCAAGACUUAGAGUCAUCUAGAUUAGUGUCAAACUUGCAUCGGCGUAACCUUUUACGACGAACCUUUUUCCAUAAUCGAGAAACAUAUCCUUAUUCCACUAAGGACAAUUUUGACCGCUCUCCAGUGAUCUACUCCUAGAUCACUAUUGUACUCCCUUGCCAAACUCAGUGGUAUGGCAUACAAUAGAUCUGGUAUACAGCAUGGCAUACUUUAUAGAACCUAUGACUGAGGCAUAGGGAAUGACUUUCAUUCUCUUUCUAUUUUCUGCCGUGGUCGGGCUUUGAGUCUUACUCAACUUAACACCUUGCAACAUAGGCAAGAACUCCUUCUUUGACUGUUCCAUUUUGAACUAUUUCAAAAAAUUUAUCAAGGUAUGUAUUCAUUGAAAAAAUCUUAUCAAGCGUCUUCAUCUAUCUAUAUAGAUCUUGAUGCUCAAUGUGUAAGCAGCUUCACCAAGGUCUUUCUUUGAAAAACUUUUAUUCAAGUAUCCUUUCAUGCUUUGCAGAAUAAUUCUACAUUAUUUCCGAUCAACAAUAUGUCAUUCACAUAUACUUAUCAGAAAUAUUGUAGUGCUCCCACUCACUUUCUUGUAAAUACAGGCUUCACUGUAAGUCUGUACAAUAACUAUAUGCUUUGAUCAACUUAUCAAAGCGUAUAUUCCAACUCCGAGAUUCUUGCACCAGUCCAUAAAUGGAUCGCUGGAGCUUGCACACUUUGUUAGCUCCCUUUGGAUCGACAAAACCUUCCGGUUGCAUCAUAUACAACUCUUCUUCCAGAAAUCCAUUCAGGAAUGCAGUUUUGACAUCCAUCUGCCAAAUUUCAUAAUCAUAAAAUGCGGCAAUUGCUAACAUGAUUCGGACAGACUUUUAAGCAUCGAUACGAGUAAGAAAAUCUCAUCGUAUUCAACACCUUGAACUUUGUCAAAAACCUUUUUCGACAAGUCUAGCUUUGUAGAUAGUAACACUACUAUCAAUGUCCGUCUUCCUCUUGAAGAUCCAUUUAUUCUUAAUGACUCACCGAUCAUCGGGCAAGUCAAUCAAAGUCUACACUUUGUUCUCAUACAUGGAUCAUAUCUCAGAUUUCAUGGCCUCAAGCAAUUUCGUGGAAUCUGGGCUCAUCAUUGCUUCCUCAUAGUUCGUAGGUUCAUCAUGGUCUAGUAACAUGACUUCCAGAACAUGAUUACCGUACCACUCUGGUGCGGAUCUUACUCUGGAAGACCUACGAGGUUUGGUAGUAACUUGAUCUGAAGUUUGAUGAUCAUCAUCAUUAACUUCCUCACUUAUUGGUGUAGGAAUCACUGGAACUGAUUUCUGUGAUGAACUACUUUCCAAUAAGGGAGAAGGUAUAAUUACCUCAUCAAGUUCUACUCUCCUCCCACUCACUUCUUUCGAGAGAAACUCCUUCUCUGGAAAGGAUCCAUUUUAGCAACGAAUGUCUUGCCUUCGGAUCUGUGAUAGAAGGUGUACCCAACAAUUUCCUUUGGGUAUGAAGACGCACUUCUCCGAUUUGGGUUCGAGCUUAUCAGGAUGAAACCUUUUUCACAUAAGCAUCGCAGCCCCAAACUUUAAGAAACAACAGGUUAGGUUUAUUGCUAAACCAUAGUUCAUACAGUGUCGUCUCAACGGAUUUAGAUGGUGCCCUAUUUUAAAACGUGAAUGCAACUGUCUCUAAUGCAUAACCCCAAAACGAUAGUGGUAAAGAGAUAUCAUAGAUCGCACCAUAUCAAAUAAAGUGCGGUUACGACGUUCAGACACACCAUAACGAUGUGGUGUUCCAGGUGGCGUGAGCUGUGAAACUAUUCCACAUUGUUUUAAUUGAAGACCAAACUCGUAACUCAAAUAUUUGUCUCCGCGAUCAGAUCGCAGAAACUUUAUUUUCUUGUUACGAUGAUUUUUCCACUUCACUCUGAAAUUCUUUGAACCUUUCAACUAUUUCAGACUUAUGUUUCAUCAAGUAGAUAUACCCAUAUCUGCUCAAAUCAUCUUGUGAAGGUCAGAAAACAACGAUGCUUGCCACAAGCAACAGCACUCAUUGGAUCGCAUACAUCGCUAUGUAUUAUUUCCAACAAGUCAGUAACUCGUUCCAUUGUUCCGAAGAACGGAGUUUUAGUUAUCUUUCCCAAAAGGCACGGUUCGCAAGCAUCAAAUGAUUCAUAACCAAGUGAUUCCGAAAAUCCAUCUUUAUGGAGUUUCUUCAUGCGCUUUACACCGAUAUGACCCAAACGGCAGUGCCACAAAUAAGUUGCACUAUCAUUAUUAACUUUGCAUCUUUUGGCAUCAAUAUUAUGAAUAUGUGUAUCACUACGAUCGAGAUCCAAUGAACCAUUUUCAUUGGGUGUGUAACCAUAUAAGGUUUUAUUCAUGUAAAUAGAACAACAGUUUAUUCUCUUAUUUAAAUGAAUAACCGUAUUGCAAUAAACAUGAUCAAAUCAUAUUCAUGCUCAACGCAAACACCAAAUAACAUUUAUUUAGGUUCAAUAUUAAUCCCGAAAGAAUAGGGAGUGUGCGAUGAUGAUCAUAUCAAUCUUGAAACUACUUUCAACACACAUCAUCACUUCACCCUUAACUAAUUUCUGUUUAUUCUGCAACUCCCGUUUCGAGUUACUACUCUUAGCAACUGAACCAGUACCAAAUACCGAGGGGUUGCUAUAAACACUAGUAAAGCACACAUCAAACACCUGUAUAUCAAAUAUACCCUUUUUCACUUUGCCAUCCUUCUUAUCCACCAAAUAUUUAGGGUAGUUCCGCUUCCAGUGACCAUUUCCUUUGCAGUGUAAGCACUCAGUUUCAGGCUUUGGUUCAGUUUUGGGCUUCUUCGUGGGAGUGACAACUUGCUUGUCAAUCUACUUGAAGUUCCCCUUUCUUUCCCUUUGCCCUUUUCUUGAAACUAGUGAUCUUGUCAACCAUCAACACUUGAUGCUCUUUCUUGAUUUCUACCUUCGUUGAUUUCAACAUCACGAAGAGCUCGGGAAUCAUUUUCAUCAUCCCUUGCAUACUAUAGUUCAUCACGAAGUUCUACUAACUUGGUGAUGGUGACUAGAGAAUUCUGUCAAUCACUAUCUUAUCUGGAAGAUUAACUCCCACUUGAUUCAAGCGAUUGAAGUACCCAGACAAUCUGAGCACAUGCUCACUAGUUGAGCGAUUCUCCUCCAUCUUUUAGCUAUAGAACUUGUUGGAGACUUCAUAUCUCUCAACUCGGGUAUUUGUUUGAAAUAUUAACUUCAAUUCCUGGAACAUCUCAUAUGGUCCAUGACGUUCAAAACGUCUUUGAAGUCCCGAUUCUAAGCCGUUAAGCAUGGUGCACUAAACUAUCAAGUAGUCAUCAUAUUGAGCUAGCCAGACGUUCAUAACUUCUGUAUCUGCUCCUGCAAUAGGUCUGUCACCUAGCGGUGCAUUAAGGACAUAAUUCUUCUGUGCAGCAAUGAGGAUUUAACCUCAGAUCACGGAUCAAAUCCGCAACAUUGCUACUAACAUUUUUCAACACAAUUUUCUCUAGGAACAUAUCAAAAUAAACACAGGGAAGCAACAACGCGAGCUAUUGAUCUUCAACAUGAUUUGCAAAAUACUACCAGGACUAAGUUCAUGAUAAAUUUAAGUUCAAUUUAAUCAUAUUACUUAAGAACUCCCACUUAGAUAGACAUCCCUCUAAUCCUCUAAGUGAUCACGUGAUCCAAAUCAACUAAACCAUGUCCGAUCAUCACGUGAGAUGGAGUAGUUUCAUCGGUGAACAUCAUUAUGUUGAUCAUAUCUACUAUAUGAUUCACGCUCGACCUUUCGGUCUCCGUGUUCCGAGGCCAUAUCUGCAUAUGCUAGGCUCGUCAAGUUUAACCUGAGUAUUCUGCGUGUGCAAAACUGGCUUGUACCCGUUGUAGAUGGACGUAGAGCUUAUCACACCCCAUCAUCACGUGGUGUCUGGGCACGACGAACUUUGGCAACGGUGCAUACUCAGGGAGAACACUUCUUGAUAAUUUAGUGAGAGAUCAUCUUAUAAUGCUACCGUCAAUCAAAGCAAGAUAAGAUGCAUAAAAGGAUAUACAUCACAUGCAAUCAAUAUAAGUGAUAUGAUAUGGCCAUCAUCAUCUUGUGCUUGUGAUCUCCAUCUCCGAAGCACCGUCAUGAUCACCAUCGUCACCGGCGCGACACCUUGAUCUCCAUCGUAGCAUCGUUGUCGUCUCGCCAAUCUUAUGCUUCCACGACUAUCACUACCGUUUAGUAAUAAAGUUAAGCAUUACAUCGCGAUUGCAUUGCAUACAAUAAAGCGACAACCAUAUGGCUCCUGCCAGUUGCCGAUAACUCGGUUACAAAACAUGAUCAUCUCAUACAAUAAAAUUCAGCAUCAUGCUUUGACCAUAUCACAUCACAACAUGCCCUGCAAAAACAAGUUAGACGUCCUCUACUUUGUUGUUGCAUGUUUUACGUGGCUGCUACGGGCUUAAGUAAGAACCAAUCUCACCUACGCAUCAAAACCACAACGAUAGUUUGUCAAAUAGACUCCGUUUUAACCUUCUCAAGGACCGGGCGUAGCCAUACUUGGUUCAACUAAAGUUGGAGAGACAGUCGCCCGCAAGCCAUCUAUGUGCAAAGCACGUCGAGGGAACCGGUCUCGCGUAAGCGUACGCGUAAGGUUGGUCCGGGUCGUCUCGUCCAACAAUACCGCCGAACCAAAGUAUGACAUGCUGGUAGGCAGUAUGACUUGUAUCGUCCACAACUCACUUGUGUUCUACUCGUGCAUAUAACAUCAACAUAAAUAACCUAGGCUCUGAUGCCACUGUUGGGUUUCGUAGUAAUUUCAAAAAAUUUCCUACGCGCACACAGGAUCAUGUGAUGCAUAGCAACGAGGGGAGAGUGUUGUCUACGUACCCAACGCAGACCGACUGCGGAAGCGAUGACACGACGUAGAGGAAGUAGUCGUACGUCUUCACGAUCCAACCGAUCAAGCACCGAAACUACGGCACCUCCGAGUUCGAGCACACGUUCAGCCCGAUGACGAUCCCCGGACUCCGAUCCAGCAAAGUGUCGGGGAAGAGUUUCGUCAGCACGACGGCGUGGUGACGAUCUUGAUGAACUACAGCAGCAGGGCUUCGCCUAAACUCCGCUACAGUAUUAUCGAGGUAUAUGGUGGCAGGGGGCACCGCACACGGCUAAGGAAUAGAUCACGUGGAUCAACUUGUGUCAACUUGUGUGUUUAGAGGUGCCCCUGCCUCAGUAUAUAAAGGAGCCAAGGGGGGAGGAGGCGCCGGCCAGGAGGAGGUGGCGCAGGAGGAGUCCUACUCCUACCGGGAGUAGGACUCCCCCCCCAAUCCUAUUCCAACUAGGAUUCCCAAGGGGGAGAGAGAGAGAGGGCUGGCCGGCCACCUCUCCUAGUCCUAAUAGGACUAGGGGAAGGGGGGGAGGCGCGCAGCCCUGGUGGGCAGCCCUUUCACCUUUCCACUAAGGCCCAUGUAGGCCCAUAUGACUCCCGGGGGGUUCCGGUAACCCUCCCGGUAACCCGGUAAAAUCCCGAUUUCACCCGGAACACUUCCGAUGUCCAAACAUAGGCUUCCAAUAUAUCAAUCUUUACGUCUCGACCAUUUCGAGACUCCUCGUCAUGUCCGUGAUCACAUUCGGGACUCCUAACAACCUUCGGUUCAUCAAAAUGCAUAAACUCAUAAUAUAACUGUCAUCGUAACCUUAAGCGUGCGGACCCUACGGGUUCGAGAACAAUGUAGACAUGACCGAGACACGUCUCUGGUCAAUAACCAAUAGCGGGACCUGGAUGCCCAUAUUGGCUCCUACAUAUUCUACGAAGAUCUUUAUCGGUCAGACCGCAUAACAACAUACGUUGUUCCCUUUGUCAUCGGUAUGUUACUUGCCCGAGAUUCGAUCGUCGGUAUCCAAUACCUAGUUCAAUCUCGUUACCGGCAAGUCUCUUUACUCGUUCCGUAAUACAUCAUCUUACAACUAACAUAUUAGUUGUAAUGCUUGCAAGGCUUAUGUGAUGUGUAUUACCGAGAGGGCCCAGAGAUACCUCUCCGACAAUCGGAGUGACAAAUCCUAAUCUCGAAAUACGCCAACCCAACAUCUACCUUUGGAGACACCUGUAAUGCUCCUUUAUAAUCACCCAGUUACGUUGUGACGUUUGGUAGCACCCAAAGUGUUCCUCCGGCAAACGGGAGUUGCAUAAUCUCAUAGUCAUAGGAACAUGUAUAAGUCAUGAAGAAAGCAAUAGCAACAUACUAAACGAUCAGGUGCUAAGCUAAUGGAAUGGGUCAUGUCAAUCAGAUCAUUCAACUAAUGAUGUGACCUCGUUAAUCAAAUAACAACUCAUUGUUCAUGGUCAGGAAACAUAACCAUCUUUGAUUAACGAGCUAGUCAAGUAGAGGCAUACUAGUGACACUCUGUUUGUCUAUGUAUUCACACAUGUAUUAUGUUUCCGGUUAAUACAAUUCUAGCAUGAAUAAUAAACAUUUAUCAUGAUAUAAGGAAAUAAAUAAUAACUUUAUUAUUGCCUCUAGGGCAUAUUUCCUUCAAUACGGCCCAUAGGGCUCCCCGAGUUCCUCCUUUGCCCUAUAGUGUAUUCCCAACUUCAAUCUUCACGAUGUAUUUUUAUUUUAUUGUUUUGGUCUCCAAAAAAGUAUUUUUGUGCAAACUAAAAAAAGUAGAAAAGUGUAACCGGUAAUGGGCACUAGAUUAAUAGAUUAGUACAUUAAAAUUGUGUAAAGUGUCAAAACUAUGUAAUAAUGAUAUAAAAGUAGCAUGACCAUAACAAAAACUAUAUAUGCAUUUGAGAGUAUCAACAUGCUCAAGCUUAAUCUUACUCGUCCUCGAGUAGGUAGAUGAUAAUUGUUUUUUGAUUGUGAAUGCUAUCUUAACAGGAAGGAGAGCCUUGGUGCAACAGUAAGGGCCAGUUCUUUUCGGCGAUUCUCCCAGAAUCGCCCCCCUCCCCAGCUUCUCCCAGAAUUGCCACUCCAUAUUUUUUUACAAUCCUAUCUAGUUAAGGUCUAAUUAGCUAGGAUUGUAAAAAACAUAUAGAGUGGUGAUUUUGGGAGAAGCUGGGGAGGGGGGCGAUUCUAGUAGAAUCGCCCAAAAGAACUGGCCCUUAAAGUUGUUGCCUUAUGACCAUGAGGUCAUGGAUUCGAGUCCUAGAAACAACCUGCUGUACAAAUGCAGGGAAAACUGUGUACAAAAGAUCCAAAGUGGUUGGACCCUUUCCCAAACCACGCGCAAGCCGCGUCUCCGCCUCCUCGGCUUGGGCAAGGUGGAACUGCCUCUCUGCCUCCUCCAUCCCAAAUCCGUCGGGCUCGACGUCCGUGCCCGCUGCCUCCUCCCCCGCCUCCUCUUCCUCCUUCUCCUCCUCCUGCUCUGACACCUCCGUCUCCGCCUGACCCUUGUCCGUAAGGCUAGCGGCGUGGUGUGCAUGAAGGAAAUAUGCCCUAGAGGCAAUAAUAAAGUUAUUAUUUAUUUCCUUAUAUCAUGAUAAAUGUUUAUUAUUCAUGCUAGAAUUGUAUUAACCGGAAACAUGAUACAUGUGUGAAUACAUAGACAAACAGAGUGUCACUAGUAUGCCUCUACUUGAAUAGCUCAUUAAUCAAAGAUGGUUAUGUUUCCUAACCAUUGACAAAGAGUUGUUAUUUGAUUAACGAGGUCACAUCAUUAGUUGAAUGAUCUGAUUGACAUGACCCAUUUUCAUUAGCUUAGCACCCGAUCGUUUAGUAUGUUGCUAUUGCUUUCUUCAUGACUUAUACAUGUUCCUAUGACUAUGAGAUUAUGCAACUCCCGUUUACCGGAGGAACACUUUGUGUGCUACCAAAUGUCACAACGUAACUAGGUGAUUAUAAAGGAGCUCUACAGGUGUCUCCAAAGGUAGAUGUUGGGUUGGCGUAUUUCGAGAUUAGGAUUUGUCACUCUGAUUGUCGGAGAGGUAUCUCUAGGCCCUCUCGGUAAUGCACAUCACAUAAGCCUUGCAAGCAUUGCAACUAAUGAGUUAGUUGCGAGAUGAUGUAUUACGGAAUGAGUAAAGAGACUUGCCGGUAACGAGAUUGAACUAGGUAUUGGAUACCGACGAUCGAAUCUCGGGCAAGUAACAUACCGAUGACAAAGGGAACAACGUAUGUUGUUAUACGGUCUGACCGAUAAAGAUCUUCGUUGAAUAUGUAGGAGCCAAUAUGGGCAUCCAGGUCCCGCUAUUGGUUAUUGACCGGAGAUGUGUCUCAGUCAUGUCUGCAUUAUUCUCGAACCAUAGGGUCCGCACGCUUAAUGUUACGAUGACAGUUAUUAUGAGUUUAUGCAUUUUGAUGUACCGAAGUUAGUUCGGAGUCCCGGAUAUGAUCACGGACAUGACGAGGAGUCUCUAAAUGGUCAAGACAUAAAGAUUGAUAUAUUGGAAGCCUAUAUUUGGACAUCGGAAGUGUUCCGGGUGAAAUCGGGAUUUUACCGGAGUACCGGGAGGUUACCGGAACCCCCCGGGAGCCAUAUGGGCCUUAAUGGGCUUUAGUGGAAAGGAAAAAGGGGCAGCCCAAGGUGGCCGCGCGCCUCCCCCCUAGUCCUAUUAGGACUAGGAGAGGUGGCCGACCCCCCUCUCUCUCUUUCCCCCUCGGGGAAUCCUAGUCCAACUAGGAUUGGGGGGGGGGGGGAGUCCUACUCCCGGUAGGAGUAGGACUCCUCCUGCGCCCUCCUCCUGGCAGGCGCUGACGGUGGCGACGCUGUUCCCGCUGGGCGGGCUGCUGCUGGUGCUGUCCGGGCUGGCGCUGGCGGGCACCGUGGUGGGGCUGGCCGUGGCCACGCCGGUGUUCCUGCUCUUCAGCCCCGUGCUGGUCCCGGCCGCGCUCACCAUCGGCCUGGCCGUCACCGGGUUCCUCACCUCCGGCGCGCUGGGGCUGGGCGGCCUCUCCUCGCUCACCGUGCUCGCCAACACGGCGCGCCAGGCGUUCCAGCGCACCCCGGACUACGUGGAGGAGGCGCGCCAGCGCAUGGCCGACGCUGCCGCGGCCGCGGGGCACAAGACGCAGCAGGCCGGCCACGCCAUCCAGAGCCGCGCGGAGGAGGCGCGCGCCGGAGGAGGAGGCGGCCACACCGGCGCCACCGGCGGAGCGGGCGCCGGCACCGGCACCAGGGCGUCGUCGUAAGCCGGAGCCAGCAGGCCGAUGUCAGUCCGCCGCGCCGCGCAGCAGGGCGCGCGUCGUCUAGCUACUACCUGCUCUAUGUGUGCUAGCGCCUUCGUACGUGUCUACACGAGCGAGUGUGUGUGCGUUCGUGCGUGUCAGUGUGUGUGUGUGAUGUUUCUACUGUUUUAGUACUGCUCGUGUUCGUCCGAUCGAUCGGUUUAGUACCGAGUUGUGAAUAAGAAAAGGCCCGGGCCGCUUCGUCUGUCCAUGCAUUUGCUUCUGUGCUGCUUCAGUGUGUGUGUGUGUGUGUGUGUGUGUGUGUGUGUGUGUGUGUGUGUGUGUGUGUGUGUGUGUGUGUGUGUGUGUGAUGUUGUACUACACGCUGCCGAUCAUUUGACAUCGACGAGGAUAAUUCACCAUUUGGCCCAUCCUUCGUACGAGAAUACUUCAGAAUCCGUCUUCCUUUUCUGAAACGAAGUUCAGAUUCUGUCUUCGUUGAAUGCGAAGCGUGCAAGACGAUUAUCCCAGCUCAAACUUAGUGACACAUCACCACUACAGACGUACAGACGUACUACGUGCCGGAGGCAAAAAUAAACACGUACACACGUCAGGUGCAGGAGUGAAACCAUCUCCCAAAGCAAGGCAACAAUAUACACCAUGGCUUGCUGGCCGCUGCACCCUUUUGUAUUUUUUGGAGUGAAUGGCGGAGCUUUACUGCACAAUGAAGUUUUAGGGCAUGCAAAUUGGAUCAGGAGAAUACAGAAACCACACAUGCGUAAGGUGUAUUGUUCGGCGUGUGAGGAAUGGAAGAGGCACGGACAUAACUUUAGGGCACCCCACUACUUUUUGCAUACAUUAGGGCAUCUCCAACGUUAUUAUUUUUUGCAUUUUCUUGUUCAUACGUUUUUUUAGGGGGGUUCUUUUUCAUACGUUAGGGAAUACGCUGACGGUGACGGGACACUGCUGUCGGAGGCCGAGGGCCGUCAUCCAACGCUGCUAAAUCAGCCGACAUUUAUCCAGUUAGGGUGGAAAAUAGUAUAAAUCUUCCAUACAUAGCAUACAAAUAAGUCGUCUAUAGAAAAUAGUAUAAAUCCUCCGUACAUAGCAUACAAAUAAGUCGUCUAGUACAAAAUGUCUCAAAUUCAACACCGGAUGUCCAAUAAGCUUCAUCAAAAUGUCUCAAAUUCAACACGGAUGUCCAAUAAGCUUCAUCAACGAAUUAUGUCGUCUCAUACAUACUGCCCUUCAGUUAACCGUGUGUACUUAAAUGACCGUGCAAUGGUCAUCUUUUCUCCAGCUGAGUUAUCACGGUGACACUAGUCUGAAUAGCGUACCAGUGAUACGGUAAUGAUCUCACAUGCCUUCUUGAAUAAUGUGCAUAUUGUAGGGAGCAAUGUGUUUUUGGGCGUGAAAUAAUUCAUGUACUUGCUGCCAGAAGGUCGUCCUCUACUCCCGCCUACAAAGUUCAUGGAUACGGCCAACCAUGUAUCGCACAACAGCUCAUCCUCCACGGUCGAGUACCCUGCCAUCCUUCGUACUCUGAAAGAAUGACAUCGCAUCCAAAAUUAAGCUAAAUGGCAUUUGAUCGAACACAUGUCGGGCGCGGUGUCUGCCGUGGAGGUUGUCGACAGGGGGCGGAGUGUACCUGAGUACAAACGACUCUAGGAUGGACAACGCCGUCAUAAAGGCGAGCGGGCGCGCCGAUGCUGGUUGCGGACGUUCGGCAAUGUCUCUGUGACGAUCGGAGAGGUAUAAGGGCCGUGACGAAGAUGGAGGGUGCCGAUGCAAUGUAAGGGCGAUAAGGGGUAGAGUGAAAGAAAAUGGGGCCAAGAGGGGGGGGGUUAGUGGGUCUCGGGUGCCGGAGUCCUACGUGGCUACAUGCCGGACUCCCGCAACCCCCCCCCCCCAUUUUGUCUCCACUUUGCAGGAGAAAGCAUGUCCGGACCGCCAUGCGGAACGAUACGGGCCCAAGUUGAAUGGCNNNNNNNNNNNNNNNNNNNNNNNNNNNNNNNNNNNNNNNNNNNNNNNNNNNNNNNNNNNNNNNNNNNNNNNNNNNNNNNNNNNNNNNNNNNNNNNNNNNNNNNNNNNNNNNNNNNNNNNNNNNNNNNNNNNNNNNNNNNNNNNNNNNNNNNNNNNNNNNNNNNNNNNNNNNNNNNNNNNNNNNNNNNNNNNNNNNNNNNNNNNNNNNNNNNNNNNNNNNNNNNNNNNNNNNNNNNNNNNNNNNNNNNNNNNNNNNNNNNNNNNNNNNNNNNNNNNNNNNNNNNNNNNNNNNNNNNNNNNNNNNNNNNNNNNNNNNNNNNNNNNNNNNNNNNNNNNNNNNNNNNNNNNNNGCCGUCAUAAAGGCGAGCGGGCGCGCCGAUGCUGGUUGCGGACGUUCGGCAAUGUCUCUGUGACGAUCGGAGAGGUAUAAGGGCCGUGACGAAGAUGGAGGGUGCCGAUGCAAUGUAAGGGCGAUAAGGGGUAGAGUGAAAGAAAAUGGGACCAAGAGGGGGGGGGUUAGUGGGUCUCGGGUGCCGGAGUCCUACGUGGCUACAUGCCGGACUCCCGCAACCCCCCCCCCCCAUUUUGUCUCCACUUUGCAGGAGAAAGCAUGUCCGGACCGCCAUGCGGAACGAUACGGGCCCAAGUUGAAUGGCACAACACGUCUGGACCACACUGCUCGAACGGUUGCGGGCAGUUUGAGGAUCGGCGUUGGAGAUGCCCAUAGUGCUUCAAAUUACCAUCAUUGCAUUUCAUACCUUUCAUGUUUACAUAUUAUUCAAAGUAGCACCAUUGCAUUUCAUAUUCUUCAUGUUUACAUAUUAGUUGGUACUUUUUCACUGUAGAACAAGCAAAGUUGGAUGAGCUUUCUCAAACACUUUAGGUGUUUAUAAACAAGCGAAGUUUGAUGCACGUCUCCACUAAGUCAUUUGGAGAGCUUUCAUUUAUUCAUAGCUUUAGUGAAUCCAUUGCAUGACAAUCGCUACUCCAUGCAUCAACAUCGAUUAUAUGACUUCUCCAUUACCUAAUGAUCAGUCACGUUGAUGCCAUACUUUCUUCCUUUUUGACUUCUUAUUAACCUCCAUUAUUUAUUUAUCUUUUUGUUUAAGUGUAAAGAUUAAGGCUCGCGCUAGAAAAUGCAUAACUCUAAGUUAAUUGAAACAAGAGAUUGUGUAGUUGAUAUACUUGACCAACACUCUGGCCACUUUAUGAUAAAAUUGUUUCUGAUACAAUUAAGACUUAGCAUACUAUGGUUUCAUGAUACACCUAACAUUGUAUCUGAACCUAAAAGGCAUUGGUGUAUUUGAUAUGAAAGCAUUGAUCCAUGAAAAGCGAGUGAUUUUACUUGCACUUUUUUAUGUUAUCUUCUUUUAUCAACUAUAAAACAUUGCAUUGCAACGUUGUUCUUUACCGUCAUACCUAAAUUACAUCAUAUUGAUUAUAAUUCAUGUUUGUAGCAUUUACAAUCAAAAUUUAUGUUGUUAUCAUCUAUCUGCUCGAGGACAAGUAUGGAUUUAGCCUGGUGAUGUUGAUACUUCUCAUAUAUGUAUAUUUCUUUGAUUGUUUCACGCUAGGUUUAUACUCCCUCCGUUUCUUUAUAUAAGGUGGAUUUGUUUUUUGAUGAAAUUCUAGAAUCUAAGGUGUAUUUCUUAUAAUUCUUCAUAGUUCCCUUGUCCGCCCACCAGAAAAAAGAAAACUAUCUUUCUCCUGAUUGUCUGUAUCUCUCCUUGUAGCAAAAGAAGGAAAGUAUCUCUAUGUCGAUUGCAUCUCUUACUUUCCUGGACUAACUGAUUUACCUGCCACUAACCAACAAAUUUGCCAAGGGUAAUUCCGUCCUAACAUGUCUAUAAUUAUGUGUUGGAAAUAUGCCCUAGAGGCAAUAAUAAAAGCAUUAUUAUUAUAUUUCCUUGUUCAUGAUAAUUGUCUUUAUUCAUGCUAUAAUUGUGUUAUCCGGAAAUCGUAAUACAUGUGUGAAUAAUAGACACCAACAUGUCCCUAGUAAGCCUCUAGUUGACUAGCUCGUUGAUCAACAGAUAGUCAUGGUUUCCUGGCUAUGGACAUUGGAUGUCAUUGAUAACGGGAUCACAUCAUUAGGAGAAUGAUGUGAUGGACAAGACCCAAUCCUAAACAUAUCAUAAGAUCGUAUAGUUUGUUUGCUAGAGUUUUCCAAUGUCAAGUAUCCUUUCCUUAGACCAUGAGAUCGUGUAACUCCCGGAUACCGUAGGAGUGCUUUGGGUGUACCAAACGUCACAACGUAACUGGGUGACUAUAAAGGUAUACUACGGGUAUCUCCGAAAGUGUCUGUUGGAUUGACAUGGAUCAAGACUGGGAUUUGUCACUCCGUAUGACGGAGAGGUAUCACUGGGCCCACUCGGUAAUGCAUCAUCAUAAUGAGCUCAAAGUGACCAAGUGUCUGGUCACGGGAUCAUGCAUUACGGUACGAGUAAAGUGACUUGCCGGUAACGAGAUUGAACGAGGUAUUGGGAUACCGACGAUCGAAUAUCGGGCAAGUAACAUACUGAUUGACAAAGGGAAUUGUAUACGGGGUUGCUUGAAUCCUCGACAUCGUGGUUCAUCCGAUGAGAUCAUCGAGGAGCAUGUGGGAGCCAACAUGGGUAUCCAGAUCCCGCUGUUGGUUAUUGACUGGAGAGUCGUCUCGGUCAUGACUACAUGUCUCCCGAACCCGUAGGGUCUACACACUUAAGGUUCGGUGACGCUAGGGUUGUAGGGAUAUGUAUAUGCAGUAACCCGAAUGUUGUUCGGAGUCCCGGAUGAGAUCCCGGAUGUCACGAGGAGUUCCGGAAUGGUCCGGAGGUAAAGAAUUAUAUAUAGGAAGUGCUAUUUCGGGCAUCGGGACAAGUUUCGGGGUCACCGGUAUUGUACCGGGACCACCGGAAGGGUCCCGGGGGUCCAUCGGGUGGGGCCACCUGCCCCGGGGGGCCACAUGGGCUGUAGGGGGUGUGCCUUGGCCUAUAUGGGCCAAGGGCACCAGCCCCAAGAGGACCAUGCGCCUAGGGUUCAAGAAGGGAAGAGUCUCAAAGGGGGAAGGCACCUCCUAGGUGCCUUGGGGAGGAGGGAUUCCUCCCUUGGCCGCACCCCCUAGGAGAUUGGAUCUCCUAGGGCCGGCGCCCCCCCCCUUGGACUCCCUAUAUAUAGUGGGGAAAGGAGGGCCUCUCAUAACACAUCUUUGGUGCCUCCCUCUCCCUCUCCAACACAUCCUCCUCCUCCAUAGUGCUUGGCGAAGCCCUACCGGAGUACUGCAGCUCCACCACCACCACGCCGUCGUGCUGCUGCUGGAGCCAUCUUCCUCAACCUCUCCUUCCCCCUUGCUGGAUCAAGAAGAAGGAGACGUCACGCUGACCGUACGUGUGUUGAACGCGGAGGUGCCGUCCGUUCGGCGCUAGGAUCUCCGGUGAUUUGGAUCACGUCGAGUACGCCUUCCUCAUCCCCGUUCUUUGAACGCUUCCGCGCGUGAUCUACAAAGGUAUGUAGAUGCAAUCCAAUCACUCGUUGCUAGAUGAACUCCUAGAUGGAUCUUGGUGAAACCGAAGGAAAAUUUUUGUUUUCUGCAACGUUCCCCAACAGUGGCAUCCUGAGCUAGGUCUAUGCGUAGUUCUCUUGCAUGAGUAGAACACAAUUUGUUGUGGGCGUUGAUGUUGUCAACUUUCUUGCCGCUACUAGUCUUAUCUUGCUUCAACGGUAUUGUGGGAUGAAGCGGCCCGGACCAACCUUACACGUACGCUUACGUGAGACCGGUUCCACCGACUAACAUGCACAAGUUGCAUAAAGGUGGCUGGCGGGUGUCUGUCUCUCCCACUUUAGUUGGAGCGGAUUCGAUGAAAAGGGUCCUUAUGAAGGGUAAAUAGAAGUUGACAAAUCACGUUGUGGCUUUCAUGUAGCUAAGAAAACGUUCUUGCUAGAACCCUACUUCAGCCACGUAAAACUUGCAACAACAAUUAGAGGACGUCUAACUUGUUUUUGCAGCAAGUGCUUUGUGAUAUGAUAUGGCCAAAGUUGUGAUGAAUGAUGAAUGAUCUAUAUGUGAUGUAUGAGAUGUUCAUGCUAUUGUAAUAGGAAUCACGACUUGCAUGUCGAUGAGUAUGACAACCGGCAGGAGCCAUAGGAGUUGUCUUUAUUUUUUGUAUGACCUGCGUGUCAUUGAGAAACGCCAUGUAAAUUACUUUACUUUAUUGCUAAACGCGUUAGCCAUAGUAGUAGAAGUAAUAGUUGGCGAGCAACUUCAUGGAGACACAAUGAUGGAGAUCAUGAUGAUGGAGAUCAUGGUGUCAUGCCGGUGACAAGAUGAUCAUGGAGCCCCAAGAUGGAGAUCAAAGGAGCUAUGUGAUAUUGACCAUAUCAUGUCACUAUUAUUAUUUGAUUGCAUGUGAUGUUUAUCAUGUUUUUGUAUCUUGUUUGCUUAGAAUGACGGUAGUAAAUAAGAUGAUCCCUCAUAAUAAUUUCAAGAAAGUGUACCCCCUAACUGUGCACCGUUGCGACACUUUGUUGUUUCGAAGCACCACGUGAUGAUCGGGUGUGACAGAUUCUAACGUUCACAUACAACGGGUGUAAGACAGAUUUACACAUGCAAAACACUUAGGUUGACUUGACGAGCCUAGCAUGUACAGACAUGGCCUCGGAACACAGAAGACCGAAAGGUCGAGCAUGAGUCGUAUAGAAGAUACGAUCAACAUGAAGAUGUUCACCGACGUUGACUAGUCCGUCUCACGUGAUGAUCGGACACGGCCUAGUUAACUCGGAUCAUGUUAUACUUAGAUGACUGGAGGGAUGUCUAUCUGAGUGGGAGUUCAUUAUAAUUUGAUUAGAUGAACUUAAUUAUCAUGAACUUAGUCUAAAAUAUUUAUAAUAUGUCUUGUAGAUCAAAUGGCCAACGUAGUCCUCAACUUCAACACGUUCCUAGAGAAAACCAAGCUGAAAGACGAUGGCAGCAACUACACGGACUGGGUCCAGAACCUGAGGAUCAUCCUCAUAGAUGCCAAGAAAGAUUAUGUCCUACAAGCACCGCUAGGUGAUGCACCUGUUCUCCCUGCAGAACAAGACGUUAUGAACGCUUGGCAGGCACGUACCGAUGACUACUCCCUCGUUCAGUGCGGCAUGCUUUACAGCUUAGAGCCGGGGCUCCAAAAGCGUUUUGAGAGACACGGAGCAUAUUAGAUGUUCGAAGAGCUGAAAAUGGUUUUCCAAGCUCAUGCCCGGGUCGAGAGAUAUGAAGUCUCCGACAAAUUCUUCAGCUGUAAGAUGGAGGAAAAUAGUUCCGUCAGUGAGCACAUACUCACAAUGUCUGGGUUACAUAACCGCUUGACUCAGCUGGGAGUUAAUCUCCCGGAUGACGCGGUCAUUGACAGAAUCCUUCAGUCGCUUCCACCAAGCUACAAGAGCUUUGUAAUGAACUUCAAUAUGCAGGGGAUGGAAAAGACCAUUCCUGAAGUAUUUGCAAUGCUGAAAUCAGCAGAGGUAGAAGUCAAAAAGGAACAUCAAGUGUUGAUGGUGAAUAAAACCACUAAGUUCAAGAAAGGCAAGGGUAAGAAAACCUUCAAGAAAGACGGCAAGGGAGUUGCCGCGCCCGGCAAGCAAGCUGCCAGGAAGAAGCCAAAGAAUGGACCCAAGCCCGAGACUAAGUGCUUUUAUUGCAAGGAAAGUGGUCACUGGAAGCGGAACUGCCCCAAAUACUUAGCGGACAAGAAGGCCGGCAAAACGAAAGGUAUAUGUGAUAUACAUGUAAUUGGUGUGUACCUUACCAGUACUCGUAGUAGCUCUUGGGUAUUUGAUACCGGUGCGGUUUCUCACAUUUGUAACUCAAAACAGGAGCUGCGGAAUAAGCGGAGAGUGGCGAAGGACGAGGUGACGAUGCACGUCGGGAAUGGUUCCAAGGUUGAUGUGAUCGCCGUCGGCACGCUGCCUCUUCAUUUACCUACGGGAUUAGUUUUAAACCUCAAUAAUUUUUAUUUAGUGCCAAGUUUGAGCAUGAACAUUGUAUCAGGAUCUCGUUUAAUUCGAGAUGGCUACUCAUUUAAAUCCGAGAAUAAUGGUUGUUUUAUUUAUAUGAGAGAUAUAUUUUAUGGUCAUGCUCCGAUGGUGAAUGGUUUAUUCUUAAUGAAUCUCGAGCGUAAUGCUACACAUGUUCAUAGUGUGAGUACCAAAAGAUGUAAGAUUGAUAAUGAUAGUCUCACAUACUUGUGGCACUGCCGCCUUGGUCACAUAGGUGUCAAACGCAUGAAGAAGCUCCAUGCUGAUGGACUUUUAGAGUCUCUUGAUUAUGAAUCAUUUGACACGUGCGAACCAUGCCUCAUGGGUAAAAUGACCAAGACUCCGUUCUCAGGAACAAUGGAGCGAGCAACCAACUUAUUGGAAAUCAUACAUACUGAUGUGUGCGGUCCAAUGAGUGUUGAGGCUCGCGGUGGCUAUCGUUAUGUUCACACCCUCAGUGAUGACUUGAGUAGAUAUGGGUAUAUCUACUUAAUGAAACACAAGUCUGAAACCUUUGAAAAGUUCAAGGAAUUUCAGAGUGAGGUUGAGAAUCAACGUGACAGGAAAAUCAAGUUCCUACGAUCAGAUCGUGGAGGAGAAUACUUGAGUCACGAGUUUGGCACACACUUAAGAAAAUGUGGAAUAGUUUCACAACUCACGCCGCCUGGAACACCUCAGCGUAAUGGUGUGUCCGAACGUCGUAAUCGCACUCUAUUAGAUAUGGUGCGAUCUAUGAUGUCUCUUACCGAUUUACCGCUAUCUUUUUGGGGCUAUGCUUUAGAGACUGCCGCAUUCACUUUAAAUAGGGCUCCGUCGAAAUCCGUUGAGACGACACCGUAUGAAUUAUGGUUUGGGAAGAAACCUAAGCUGUCGUUUCUAAAAGUUUGGGGAUGCGAUGCUUAUGUCAAGAAACUUCAACCUGAAAAGCUCGAACCCAAGUCGGAAAAAUGCGUCUUCAUAGGAUACUCUAAAGAAACUAUUGGGUAUACCUUCUACCUCAGAUCCGAAGGCAAGAUCUUUGUUGCCAAGAAUGGAUCCUUUCUAGAGAAAGAGUUUCUCUCGAAAGAAGUAAGUGGGAGGAAAGUAGAACUUGAUGAAGUAUUACCUCUUGAACCGGAAAAUGGCGCAGCUCAAGAAAAUGUUCCUGAGGUGCCUGCACCGACUAGAGAGGAAGUUAAUGAUGAUGAUCAAGAUACUUCUGAUCAAGCUCCUACUGAAAUUCGAAGGUCCACAAGGACACGUUCCACACCAGAGUGGUACGACAACCCUGUCUUGGAAAUCAUGUUGUUAGACAACGGUGAACCUUCGAACUAUGAAGAAGCGAUGGCGGGCCCGGAUUCCAACAAAUGGCUAGAAGCCAUGAAAUCCGAGAUAGGAUCCAUGUAUGAAAACGAAGUAUGGACUUUGACUGACUUGCCCGUUGAGCGGCGAGCCAUAGAAAAUAAAUGGAUCUUUAAGAAGAAGACAGACGCGGAUGGUAAUGUGACCAUCUAUAAAGCUCGGCUUGUCGCUAAGGGUUAUCGACAAGUUCAAGGGGUUGACUACGAUGAGACUUUCUCACCGGUAGCGAAGCUGAAGUCCAUUCGAAUCAUGUUAGCGAUUGCCGCAUUCUAUGAUUAUGAAAUAUGGCAAAUGGACGUCAAAAUGGCAUUCCUUAAUGGUUUCCUUAAGGAAGAAUUGUAUAUGAUGCAGCCGGAAGGUUUUGUCGAUCCUAAGAAUGCUGACAAGGUGUGCAAGCUCCAACGCUCGAUUUAUGGGCUGGUGCAAGCAUCUCGGAGUUGGAACAUUCGCUUUGAUGAGAUGAUCAAAGCGUUUGGGUUUACGCAGACUUAUGGAGAAGCCUGUGUUUACAAGAAAGUGAGUGGGAGCUCUGUAGCAUUUCUCAUAUUAUAUGUAGAUGGCAUACUUUUGAUGGGAAAUGAUAUAGAACUCUUGGACAGCAUAAAGGCCUACUUGAAUAAGAGUUUUUCAAUGAAGGACCUUGGAGAAGCUGCUUAUAUAUUAGGCAUCAAGAUCUACAGAUAGAUCAAGACGCCUCAUAGGUCUUUCACAAAGCACAUACCUUGAUAAGAUAUUGAAGAAGUUCAAUAUGGAUCAGUCUAAGAAGGGGUUCUUGCCUGUGUUGCAAGGUGUGAAAUUGAGCUCAGCUCAAUGUCCGACCACGGCAGAAGAUAUAGAAGAGAUGAGUGUCAUCCCCUAUGCCUCAGCCAUAGGUUCUAUUAUGUAUGCCAUGCUGUGUACCAGACCUGAUGUAAACCUUGCCGUAAGUUUGGUAGGAAGGUACCAAAGUAAUCCCGGCAAGGAACACUGGACAGCGGUCAAGAAUAUCCUGAAGUACCUGAAAAGGACUAAGGAAAUGUUUCUCGUUUAUGGAGGUGACGAAGAGCUCGUCGUAAAGGGUUACGUCGAUGCUAGCUUCGACACAGAUCUGGAUGACUCUAAGUCACAAACCGGAUACGUGUAUAUUUUGAAUGGUGGGGCAGUAAGCUGGUGCAGUUGCAAGUAGAGCGUUGUGGCGGGAUCUACAUGUGAAGCGGAGUACAUGGCAGCCUCGGAGGCAGCACAUGAAGCAAUUUGGGUGAAGGACUUCAUCACCGACCUAGGAGUCAUACCCAAUGCAUCGGGGCCGAUCAAGCUCUUCUGUGACAACACUGGAGCUAUUGCACUUGCCAAGGAGCCAGGUUUCACAAGAAGACAAGGCACAUCAAGCGUCGCUUCAAGUCCAUUCGUGAAAAUGUUCAAGAUGGAGACAUAGAUAUUUGUAAAGUACACACGGACCUGAAUGUAGCAGAUCCGUUGACUAAACCUCUCCCUAGAGCAAAACAUGAUCAACACCAGAAUUCCAUGGGUGUUCGAUUCAUCACAAUGUAACUAGAUUAUUGACUCUAGUGCAAGUGGGAGACUGUUGGAAAUAUGCCCUAGAGGCAAUAAUAAAAGCAUUAUUAUUAUAUUUCCUUGUUCAUGAUAAUUGUCUUUAUUCAUGCUAUAAUUGUGUUAUCCGGAAAUCGUAAUACAUGUGUGAAUAAUAGACACCAACAUGUCCCUAGUAAGCCUCUAGUUGACUAGCUCGUUGAUCAACAGAUAGUCAUGGUUUCCUGGCUAUGGACAUUGGAUGUCAUUGAUAACGGGAUCACAUCAUUAGGAGAAUGAUGUGAUGGACAAGACCCAAUCCUAAACAUAGCAUAAGAUCGUAUAGUUCGUUUGCUAGAGUUUUCCAAUGUCAAGUAUCCUUUCCUUAGACCAUGAGAUCGUGUAACUCCCGGAUACCGUAGGAGUGCUUUGGGUGUACCAAACGCCACAACGUAACUGGGUGACUAUAAAGGUAUACUACGGGUAUCUCCGAAAGUGUCUGUUGGGUUGACAUGGAUCAAGACUGGGAUUUGUCACUCCGUAUGACGGAGAGGUAUCACUGGGCCCACUCGGUAAUGCAUCAUCAUAAUGAGCUCAAAGUGACCAAGUGUCUGGUCACGGGAUCAUGCAUUACGGUACGAGUAAAGUGACUUGCCGGUAACGAGAUUGAACGAGGUAUUGGGAUACCGACGAUCGAAUAUCGGGCAAGUAACAUACCGAUUGACAAAGGGAAUUGUAUACGGGGUUGCUUGAAUCCUCGACAUCGUGGUUCAUCCGAUGAGAUCAUCGAGGAGCAUGUGGGAGCCAACAUGGGUAUCCAGAUCCCGCUGUUGGUUAUUGACUGGAGAGUCGUCUCGGUCAUGUCUACAUGUCUCCCGAACCCGUAGGGUCUACACACUUAAGGUUCGGUGACGCUAGGGUUGUAGGGAUAUGUAUAUGCAGUAACCCGAAUGUUGUUCGGAGUCCCAGAUGAGAUCCCGGACGUCGCGAGGAGUUCCGGAAUGGUUCGGAGGUAAAGAAUUAUAUAUAGGAAGUGCUAUUUCGGGCAUCGGGACAAGUUUCGGGGUCACCGGUAUUGUACCGGGACCACCGGAAGGGUCCCGGGGGUCCACCGGGUGGGGCCACCUGCCCCAGGGGGCACAUGGGCUGUAGGGGGUGCUCCUUGGCCUAUAUGGGCCAAGGGCACCAGCCCCAAGAGGCCCAUGCGCCUAGGGUUCAAGAAGGGAAGAGUCUCAAAGGGGGAAGGCACCUCCUAGGUGCCUUGGGGAGGAGGGAUUCCUUCCUUGGCCGCACCCCCUAGGAGAUUGGAUCUCCUAGGGCCGGCCCCCCCCCCUUGGACUCCAUAUAUAUAGUGGGGAAAGGAGGGCCUCUCAUAACACAUCUUUGGUGCCUCCCUCUCCCUCUCCAACACAUCCUCCUCCUCCAUAGUGCUUGGCGAAGCCCUGCCGGAGUACUGCAGCUCCACCACCACCACGCCGUCGUGCUGCUGCUGGAGCCAUCUUCCUCAACCUCUCCUUCCCCCUUGCUGGAUCAAGAAGAAGGAGACGUCAUGCUGACCGUACGUGUGUUGAACGCGGAGGUGCCGUCCGUUCGACGCUAGGAUCUCCGAUGAUUUGGAUCACGUCGAGUACGCCUUCCUCAUCCCUGUUCUUUGAACGCUUCCGCGCGUGAUCUACAAAGAUAUGUAGAUGCAAUCCAAUCACUCAUUGCUAGAUGAACUCCUAGAUGGAUCUUGGUGAAACCGUAGGAAAAUUUUUGUUUUCUGCAACGUUCCCCAACAUUAUGUGCCUUUACCACCGUGGCAAAAAUAAUACACCUUGCAUAGAGGAACGGAGGGAGUAUCAUUUUGGCAUAAUUUGGCAUCAACCUUUAUUAUUUUUCUAGACUACCUAUUUACUCAGCCAAGUGUCAGUUGUUGUUUUCUGCAUGUUUUUGAACUUUCAGGAACAUCAAUUUUACGGAGCUCCAAAAAUCCUUUCAAAAAACUCUAGAAAACAUUUUUCAACGAGAAGUUUCCAAAGGACUUGGGUCCCAUCUAGGACUCCACACAGCCAAGGUGCCCGCGUGGUACAACUAUGUGGCCCCCUGUGGCUUUGAAAACGUAUAUUUUUUUGUUCGCUCCAAAACCCCUAUACAUUGAGGAGUCUUUCUAUUUCCACAACCACACCUCUCUAUCUCAAAGUGAUACAAUCUAGAGGCCUUUUCCGGUGCUUUGUCGGAGGAGGAAAUCAUCUCAAUGUCUACGUCAACUUGAAGGCCACCAUGAUCGCUCGUGAGUAGUUUUCUUUGGACUAUGGAUCCAUAUCAAUAACUAGUUGGUUUUUCUCUCUAUUUCUUCUCAAUACAAAUAUCACAUGAGCUUCCCUACAUAAUUGUGAUCCAUUUAGUGUAAUUUGCUAAUGCAUUUGUUGCCAUGUGAUGAUUUUUCACUGUAUGACCAGAUCUAUCCAUUAAUUCUUUUGAGAUCAAUUUGGUUUCUUUGUUGCAUAAUUCUUACUCACAUAUGCUCACCGGUCUAUUUAUCUUUAUUUGGCCAAGUUUGAUGGAUGAUCUCCAAAAGGAAGUUGGGUUCAAUCUUGUAAGUAAUCUAUUGCAGUGAUAGGAAGUGGAAAAGGCUUGUAUUGUAUUGUAUUGUAUUGUAUUGUAUUGUAUUGUUGCCACUAGGGAUAAAAAUAUGAUUGUGUAGUUGUUCUUUUGAACGCGGGGUGAAGACAAUGUAUCAUAUACUUCGUGUCAUUAUACUUAAUGCAAUACUCUAUUUCUUUAACUUAAUACUUUGAUAUGCAUGUUAGAUAACGGUCUUGGGAUGGAGUAUUAGCUAUAGAUGCAGCAGGAUUAUGGUUUAUAGUUCUUUGGACAUGAUGGUGAUAUGCAACUAUACCAUGUAUAAUCAUACUCAUAAAAACUAUAAUUUAAUCGAUGAACAAGUGUAUUUUGUUCAUCACACCUUUCUACUUCUUUUGGAGAGAUAUCACUAGUGAACCUAUGGAUCCCGGUCCAUUCUUCUUCCUAUUGCUUUCAACCUCCAACAACGCUCUUUAAAAUUCCCUGUUUUAUUUCUUUGGAACUUUAACCUCCCAUACAUACUUGCAUUAAUCAUUGUAACUGACAAGGCUAGUAAGAUUGACAACCUUGCUAGUUUCGUUGGGGAUCAAGGCAGUUUUGUAUUUGUGUGUGUAGGUAUUGAUCAUUGGCUUCUUAGCAAACUCCUACUAAUUCAAUAAACCUUAGGGUCAUCCACUUUAAGGGAAAAUUGUUGCUUGCUAUAAAUAUUUACACUUGGGGGGUCCAACACCUUCCUAGUUGAGAAAAAGAGAUCCUGAAAACCAAAAAACCCAGGAAAGAAUUCCCAUGGUUUUCUCUUUGGACAAUUCAACACAUUAUGUCCCAGCCCAGAGCCAUCACACCCCAGUAAAGAUGGCAAUGGGUAGGGUACGGGGCGGGUAGAGCAAUACCAUACCCAUACCCGUGUAGUCAAUGUGUACAAAAUUCUACCCAUACCCGUACCCAUGGGUAUGAUACUUUACCCGUACCCAUACUCGACAGGUAACCAUACCCAUUGGGUACCUAAUGGAAAGUUCAAAUAGUACACAAGCUAUUCACAAUUUUACAUUCAUCUAUAGCACAUUUGACAAAAAAGCAUUGAUCUCAACUCAAUAACAAAUAGCCGAGUAGAUGAAAAUUAUCUCAAUUCAAAUUGACAAUUGGUAACAACUUUAACAUAGGUUCAUAAGCUCACAACACAACUUUAACAUAUGUACACUUGUGAUUGUGAAUCACGGGUAAGAUUCACAUGUCAAUAUAAAAUGGGUAGGGUAUGGUUAUAUCCAUGGGUAAAUGGCUAUACCCGUUCCCUACACAUGACUUAACGGGUAGGUGAAAGUGCGUUAUAUCGACUAGAGGGGGGGGUGAAUAGGCGAUUUUCAUGAAAGUCUUCAGAACAUAGAAGUUUUGAAGACAAACGAUAAAAUUAAACCUAUUACCAUGCAGCGGAAGGUAGACUACACUAGGCAAACCAUAGUCAAGUAUUCAAUGAAGUGAAAGCACAAAGACUAAUAGCAGCUAGGUAGUAAGGAUCAGGUAGGAAGAUAUUGUGAAGCCAAACAGAACACGCAGUCACUCAGUGAAGACAAAUGAUAGUACAAACAUACAAUGACUUCACAAGGAGUAACAGUAAGUAAAGGGAAGUGAAGAUGAAACCAGUGACUCGUUGAAGACAAUGAUUUGUUGGACCAGUUCCAGUUGCUGUGACAACUGUACGUCUAGUUGGAGCGGCUAGGUAUUUAAACCUUAGGACACACAGUCCCGGACACCCAGUCCUGAACACGCAGCUCAGGACACCCAGUCCUCACCGUAUUCUCCUUGAGCUAAGGUCACAUAGACCUCGCCCAACCACUCUGGUAAGUCUUCAAGGUAGACUCCCAAACCUUCACAGACUUCGUUCACCGGCAAUCCACAAUGUCUCUUGUAUGCUCAGAACGUGACGCCUAACCGGCUGGAGGAUGCACAGUCCUCAAGUGUAAUAAGUCUUCAGAUCACACAGACAAGAAGAUUUAAGUGAUACCCAAUUCUCUCUGGCUCUGGUGGUUAGGGCUUUAUCCUCGCAAGGAAUUCUCUCUCAAAGGCUUCGAGGUGGGUUGCUCUCAAACGACAAAAGCCGUACUAUCAAUCUGAGUAGCCAACCGUUUAUGGUUGUAGGGGGUGGGCUAUUUAUAGCCACUUGGCAACCCGACCUGAUUUGUCCGAAAUGACCCUGGGUCACUAAGGAACUGACACGUGUUCCAAUGGUCAGAUUUCAAACUCACACGGCAACUUUACUUGGGCUACAAGCAAAGCUGACUUGUCCGACUCUGGACAAGAAUCGCUCUCAUAGUCUUCACUCGAAGACAUAGGUUUUUGGUUUAGGCAUCACUUCAGUCAUUCUGACUGGUUCUCUUGGACACCACUUAACAGUACGGUGGUUCCUAUGACUCAACACAAAAGAAAAAGAACUACGACAGAUCUAAGUCUUCGAGCUCCAUAGGCUUCAUAUAGUGUCUUCUCUUGUCAUAGUCUUCAAUGUGAAUAUCUUCAUAUACCACCUUUGACUUCAAUGUCUUCAUACAUUUUUAGGGGUCAUCUCUGGUAGUAAAACCGAAUCAAUGAGGGACUUCUACCUGUGUUAUCCUGCAAUUCUCACAAACACAUUAGUCCCUCAACUAGGUUUGUCGUCAAUACUCCAAAACCAACUAGGGGUGGCACUAGAUGCACUUACAAUCUCCCCCUUUUUGGUGAUUGAUGACAAACUAGUUGAAGUUUUCAACGGGGAAUAUAAUCUGUGAAAUUUUAAAGGAUAAGGAAUUAUCUUCAUAAGUUGCAAGGGCUCCCCCUGAAGAUGUGCAUAUAAGUUAAUUUGCUUUUGGAAUGCAAAUGCACAUGGCAGGUUGUACUUGUGGAGAUCCACUUCAACUUAUGAUGACAAUCCACUAUGCAUGUGAAAGUAUAUGAAGAUAAUGACAUGCAUAAUGGAAAAUGGACGUCUGCAGAAUGAGCUAAGUGCGGAAUUUAUCGUCGCACAUGCGGAAUUUAUCUUCGCAAAACAAGGUGGCAAAUAAGUAGUAGACGAUCAUCUAGUCUAAGUGUUACAACUCAUAAGAACCAAAUGUAGCAAAAACGAGAGUUGUAAGCACGAAGCAAAAUAUAAAGCACCCGCCCAUAUGGACCCGCUUGAAGACUAUCAAUCUCAUAUGCUUCUCCCCCUUUUGUCAGUAAUGACCAAAAAGAUUUGAAGACAUAGAGCCUCUACUCGUUCCCACGAGGAGUAGGUGAAGUAGCAGGGUUGUUGGUGUUGUUUGGCGGUGCAGAAGAGCUUGGAGGUGCUGAAGGAGGUGGCGGUGAAGUAGCAUCGUCUUCUUCCUCAAUAAUUCUGGCAGUCACUGUGGCAGCAGAGGAAGAGAACUCAGAGUCUUCAAGGGAUAGAGUUCCUAGCAGCACAGCCCUUCGAGGAGGUGUGGAGUCAAACUUGAAUCUCUCAGUGAAGCCAUCCUAUUGAAGAUCAGCUUCAGAACACAUCAUCGUGAGCCCUUUCCAUGUGCGGCGACAGGUUUCAUGGGCAACGAAAGCAUUCUUGGUGGCAAGAUUUCGAGUGCGAUUAACAUCCACCAAGAGGCUUUUCAUCUGACGCUUCAACCAGUCAUGAUGCCUAUCCUGCUUCUGAUGUAGAGCCACAAGAAGCUCUCGGUCAUUGAGAACACGAGUGCGCUUCUUGGGUCUUGGAGCAGUGGCACUGUCAGUGGCUUCAGUGGAAGCAGGGUGUGGUGCACGUGUAGUGCCAGCCAAAGGAUACACCCGAGAAACUGCUUCAACUCCUUCAAUGUUCUGAGUAAAACUCUGAUGUUCUGCAUUCUGAAGACUUAGAGGUUGCUUGGCAGGCUCAGAAUAUAUGGCUUCGGUAGACAUGUCCACGUCAGGCAAGAAGAUCCGAUGAUUGCGGGCUGAGGGCUGAUACGAGAUGGCGGAGUGUAGCUUGAUCAGCCGCAUGACCCAAGGGGCGUAGAACUUCAAACCAAACAGAUCAAUGCCUGAUGCAGCAAGUUGGCGUAUGAAGAAGUCAUGUGCAUUGAAGCAUUUGCCAUGAAGUAUAUAGAAGACCAAAGUCUUCAUUGCACCCUGAAGCUUGGCAUUUGGAGAGUGCCCUUUGAUAGGCCAGAGAGUUCGCCUGAUGAUGUGAUAGAUGGUUCUUGGUAGAUACUCAAGGUCUUCAAUGAAGAACUCUGUGGGAUAAGCAGCAUCUUGGGGCAAUGGCUUCAUCAUGCUGAGCAUCUGACUCAUAUCAGGUUCUGGCCGCUGAAAGAUGCUCUCAAUAGCUUCAGUAUGCAGCUGACAGCCUUGCUCGAAGAGAUCGCCAGGAGUGGGCAAGCCAGUGAGCUCAAUGAUGUCAAAUGCAUUGGCUUCGUGAUGAACGUUGCCAGUCAUCCACUCCAGGACCCAAGUCUUCGGAUCUCUACUGUACCCUCUGAUGUGAAGUGUGGCAUAGAAUUGAAGCAGCAGCUCUUCAUUCCAAUGCUCUUCGUCAGUAAUGAACGGCAGCAGUCCAACUUUCUUGAAGCAAUCUAAAGCUUCUUCCAGAUAGGGCAGACCAGCUAUAGCUUCAACGUCAAGGCGCUUGUGUGGGAAGAUGCGACCUUGGUUGUACAGAAUGCAAGAGUAAUAGCUUCGCUGAGGAUAGCUCCAGAACCGAUCAGAUGGUAUCCUUUCCCUUGAGUAGGGGUUCCUGGAGCUAUUGAAGAACGUGUUGUCUGCCCUGAAGCCAUUGAUGUUGAAGGAGCCAGGUGCUGAUGCAGGACCUGAAAACCUUGGCUAUCUUGGGAUUGGCUUCUGGACCUGAGGCCUGUGCUCAACAUGAUAGUUGAAUUGGGGACCGGCAGCAGACUCAGGAACAGAAGUGGCGGGAUCAGUGGCUUCGCUGUCUUCUGAAGCUUUUGCUGGGGAGGGCUCCACAUUAGCUUCAUUGGUGGUUGUGGCAACCUCAUGAUUUUCAUCCUCCACUUGACUAGCUGGAGGGUCGGUCACAAGCACAUUCUCCUGGAGAACUGCUUCUUGGUGGGACAGGGGAGUGGGAUCUUGUGAGACUCCUUCUUCUGCGGCUGAUGCAGCCGGAAUGUCUUCAGCAGAGACCUGAGGCCUUGGACCUUUGCGAAGCCUGCGGAGCGCAGACGACACCUAUGAAAUUGAAGUGGGCUGGGCCUCAUAGUCUUCUUCCUCUUGUGGGCGAUCCGCCCAUGAAGCAUCCUGUGCAAUUGGCGUCAGUGGACGACCAAUGCUGAUGAGUUCACUGUUUUCAUGUUGAGGAAGGACUGCACCAUCUUCUACAUUGUCAUGUUGACCAAGGUCUUCAGCAGCGAUGGGAUCAGCUGCUGGAAUGUCUUCAGCUUCAUUAGCCUCUGUGGAAGCAGGCUCAUGAAUUGUCAGUUGUCGUUCAGCUUCAGGAUAGACCAUAGAAAUGGGUUCAACUAUCAAGGGCUCUGUGGAAGCAGCCCGAGCUUUCUUGGUCUUCCUCUUCUUCUUGGAGGGGGCAGUAGGUGAGGCUUCAGAGUGUUUCCUCUUCUUGUCUUCAGCCUCAGCAGUCCUUGUCUUCUUGAGCUCUGAAGCUGUUGACCGGCUUUUUGGCUUCGAGCCAGUCAGUCUAGUUGGGAAGACAAUCGGAACUGCUUCUUGCCUUGGUGCAUCAGGUUCAGCCGUAGCAGGCUUCUUCUCCUUCUUUGCGGCCAUCCUGGGGUCGAUGCCAUGACGCCCAAGUGCCUUGCGCUUCUCAGCCUCAUUAUAGGCUUGCACACAUCUGUCAGCCAGAGUCUUCAUGCGCUCACGCGAACCCUGAGCUUCUACACGCUUCUUCACAAAGGCUUCCUUGAGCUCGUGCAUCAUUGUCUUGAAGUUCUUCACUUCUUGCACGCUGAGCUUGGCCAUAUGCUUCUUGAACUGAGCCUUUUCAUAGUCAAUCUUCUGCUUCAGUUCAACAAUGCGCUGGGCAAUAGCAAGUUCUGAAGCAAUGGCGCCUUGGAAGGCGACACUGAGGCCAAUGGGUAGUUGCAGAUCUUCAAAGCUGAUGUUUGGCGUGUCAAACCACUCGUCAAUGAAGUUGUGGAUGAUGGUGACAUCAAAGAGAGGCAGAUCAUUGAAGAUUUCUGCUUCUUCUUUGCUCUUGAUGAGUUGCUCAAGAGCGUCAUCUGCAAGAUCUUCAUCACUUGACAGAACAAUGUCGUCAUUGCGCAGAAUGGCAGCAGCUAUUAGCUCUUUGCCAGUGUGAGACAGAGGCAUCUUGGCCUUCUGGGGCUUGGAGACGCGUGAUAAGUCUUCAGACUGCACACUGUUUUCAGGAGGUGCAGUUGCCAAUGGCUUCGCCCUUGAGAUUUUUGGUGAAGGGGCCGGCUUUGAAGCUUUUGGCUUCUUCAACUGCUUUGGCUUCGGCACUGCAGGCACGUCAUCAGACUCAGUGUCAGCUGCAGGCUCAUUCACUACAGUCCCUUGAACAAAGAUGUAGGUGAUGAGGUCUUCAAGGUUGGCGAAAGGACCGAUGACAUUGGGUUCUGCAUGUCGUGUGCCAUCUGCCCUUGGAGAUGAGGGACCAGGGUUGAAGUCUAACCCAAAAGUCUUCUUGUUCUGCUUUGCUGAGUUCUGAGCAAACUGGAAAUUGCGCUUGAACAGAUUGUCGUCACGACACCAUAGCAGUAACGACGAGUGUGCAUCAGCAGGCUGUGGUCCACGGACCAUGCAUGGAUAGAAGCCUUGAGCAAUGACUUCAUCUCUGGACCUGGGUAGAAGAUUCUUGAAUAGGAUGUUUCCCCACAGUCUCUUGAUGGCGUUUUUCUCAGCAUACUCCUAGGUCACAAAUCUGUAUUUGAACCAUUGUUCUGCCCAAUAUCUUCGAAUCCAUUGGACUCGGGUCUUGCGCUGACUGUAAUCCUCUUCAGGAUCUGUCUUGUACAUUUCUGAGAGUUCAUCUGGCAGAUCUCUGGAGGUCUCACCAUGACGCUUUCUGCCACCCUUCCUUACUGCUUUCUCUGAAGCCAUAAACUUUAACCCGAAAGGCUUCAAGACAUUCAAAGGCUUCAAAGGUUUUCGUUUGCUGGACCAACAGGAACUGGCUUCGGGAGAAUUUAUGUGAUGUUGUAAGAAUUCUGCAAAUGAAUGCAGACUAUGAGAACCAAAGGAUUCUCCCACGGACAUGUACCUGUGACAGCAUUAAGGUGCGAGGGAAGGGGAAGAGGUCAUAUGCAUUCUUAAAAGAUUUUGAAGAUAAAUCAGUUUAGAAGACAUUGACCUCAUCGUGCAAAGACAUUCACUCACAGAUAAGAAGUUGGUUCCAGAUUUGUACGAAUCCACAGAUCAAUACAAGUGAGGAAUCUAACUACUUUGUGAAGCACAAGUGAAUAUACUAGGCAUGUUAUGAGAUGCAGUAUGAGAGAGAUCUAGCUUGUGUGAACAGAAACUGCUUGUGGUAGAAAGUGACAAAUCCAUAGGAUCAAUGGUGUUGUAAAAAGAGGAAGUUUUAUUUACCACACUAAGAACUGCUAGACAGAGUGUAAGAUGAGGCCGAGCAGUUCGAUCUUCCGUGCCCUAACUUGGCGACGGAGGACACCUAUGGCGACGGCGGAGAGGACGAUGUCCGCGUUCGGCGUGAAGACGGCGUCGGAGAGGUUGCGGCAGCGAAGCGCUUCGUCGCCGACGUCGUCAGGGGCUAGCGGUGGCGCUAGGGUUCGUGCGAGGGUGGAAGAAGAGAUAAUGACCGCUGUGAGUGUGUAUUUAUAGGCACAAGGGCGGCACUGUGCUAUUACACAGGUGCCCCUGGCGAUUCGCAUCUGAGGAACAUGUGGCCAUUAUGCGGAAUUUUGGGGUUUGUUCCACGUCCCACGCACGCCUGGAUUGUCGGGUGGUCGUUCCUACUUCUCCAGAUUUCAUGUGGAGGAAUGAGCAUUGAAAACGGACUUAAUGGUUGUCUCUGUAUCUUCUGCUGACAAGGACGCAGAGAAGACAUACGACAGUUUCAAUAAAAUGCAUAUGACUUGGGGAGAUAGAGUUUGAGAUAGAAAGCAUAGAGAGGUUAGGGUCCGAUCACAUUCACUUAGUUCAAAAGAUUCAACACGAAGACAUAGCUAUAAGUGAAUGCUGUAGAGGACAGAACACUAGUGUGUGUGUAUAUAUAUAUAUAUAUAUAUAAUCAACAUAGUGAAGAUAAUCAUGAAUAUAUGUUGAGAUCGAAGCCAAACCAAAUGUGAAGACAUUGCAAGGUAACGCCAUGAGUGAAACACUUCAAGAUAGAACGUUUGGUGGUGGUGUUACCCACCGUAUAGGAAUUAUUAGACCCAGACACGGCGCGUAAUUAUCGUGGCGCUCUGAAGUCAAAUUCCACAUUAAUGUAUUCACACUUAGAAUGUAUGUCUUCAUUGAUUGAAGAUAUACUUUACUUUGUGUGUUGCACAUCUAAGUUAUCAAUAUGCAUAAGGGUUAGGAUGUGUGCCUGAUCACAAGACAUUUGAGGAUUCCAGGAUAUUUAGCUCACACCGUAACUUGCAAAACCUCUUCUCAUCCAAGGGCUUGGUGAAGAUAUCUAUCAAUUGCUCUUCAGUGUUGACGUGUAUGAUAUCAAUGUCUUCCUUCACAACAUGAUCUCUGAGAAAGUGAUGACGAAUUUCAAUGUGCUUUGUCUUUGAGUGCUGAACUGGGUUGUUGGCAAUCUUGAUGGCGCUUUCGUUGUCGCAGUAAAGUGGCACUUGCUUCAGAUGAAUGCCAUAGUACUUGAGUGUUUGCUUCAUCCACAGAAGCUGAGCGCAGCAAGAUCCAGCAGCAAUGUAUUCAGAUUCAGCAGUGGAGAGAGAUACACAGUUCUGCUUCUUUGAAGACCAACAUACAAGUGAUCAUCCCAGAAAGUGACAUGUGCCUGAUGUAGACUUGCGAUCAACUUUGUCACCAGCAUAAUCAGCAUCCGAGAAUCAGGCCACAAGGUGUUUCCUGAUUGCUAGUCCAUAUUUCUACUGAAGUUAAAAUGGACGUUGUAGCCAUCGUUGUCGCCAUCGCAGUCCUGACGCGUACUUGAGGAGGUGGCAACUUAUACUUGCCUCGCUCCCCCUCUUCUCGUCUUUGCACACUCAUCAGAGCAUGCUAUCUAGCAACCAACUCAUCUUCCAUGCAAGUCAACGCCAAGCACCUCUCCUCGUUUGUCUUCCUUUUCUCGGUGCAGCGACGCUCCUUCGCCAGUCAGAUCUCAUCCUCCCUUCGUUUGUUCUACACCACCACUUCGCCGCCAUUUAUUUUCGUCCCAUCUUCGACCUUCUUCUCACCUUUCUUGAUCCAGACCGAAUCUACCGUGACCCUGCCCAUCCAGAUGAGGUGGGUAACGACGGGAGGGGGUGAUGAUUCCCCUAUCUCUGAUCCAUCGCCGGUGGAGCAACAACUACUUGUGUGUAUGAUCUAGCGAGCACUCUAGGAUCAGAUUCGACACUUCUCAUUAUUAAUAUGAUGAAGAAAAACUUUUGCCUCCAUUAAAAAGACACGACGUGCCCACAUCGGCGAAAACAACACCAUGGUCUUCGUUCAAACGAUAAUCCAUUCAACGUGGUCAUCAACAAGUAAAAGGAAGAACAUAGAAGGUUUCAAUUAUAAGAUAAAAUAUCAAGAAAAAAUAUAUUAAAAAAAUAAAAUGUUAAUAAAAAGUGUCUUGAAAACAUUAAAAUUUCAUACAAAUAGGAAUCAUAAAAAACCGCUAUGAAAAUUCCUCUUUUCUUACAUACCCUUUUAUAUUUUUUCUUAUAGUAUGACAUCAUUGUUGCCCUAUAUGAUAACAUGUUAUUCAUGUAUCCAUCAAACAGACAUAAUACAUCCAACGUAGCCACCUAGGUAUAAAGAAGUAAACAAUUUUAGAAGGCUAUAAUGUUUUCACAAAGAAGAUGAUAUUAGUGCGUUGCCUUUGACUGACUCAUUUAAUGGUGAACAAAACCUCGAUAACUCUUUUCAAGGCCAAUCCUUCAAAAUAGGAAUGAUGCAUGUGUGUCCUUUGGAGUCUAUCGUGCAUCCCAAAACCCACAACCAUGGACGGAGCUUCCUUGUAAGCAAUGGGGUCAACUGAUCCCAAUGAAGUUAGCAAAUCCUUCACUAAUUUAAUACUAAUCAUUAUUCAUUUAUAGAUGAUGACCCCACUAAUAUAGACAUGAUCCCACUAAGUUUUUUCUAGCUUCGUCCUUUGCCCACAGCUACCACGAGAGUACAAGAGAUCAACGUAGUAGUGGUUAAGGUUUGGGCGUUUGGGUGUUGCCCACGGGAAGUACAUGGCAGACCGCUAUCGAGAAAGAGACCUCACACUUCACAUUUUUCUAGAUAUUUGUAGUUUUGUUUUAUAUACAACUUGAAAUUUACUAAAUUCACCACGAAGAGUAGAGAAUGCAUAAACUCAUCGAUGAUCACAAUUACUCUUAUGAGGUGCUUUCAAGAAGAAACAUAUAUAUAAAAAUACUAAGCUCCCCUAAAAUAAAGCUACCUGGUGGGUCAUGAGCCUUGUAGGCGGGAGGGCCUAUGAUGUCAGGCAUGUCAUACGACACUGUGGUAACCUGAUGGAUGUGCCGCACUUUAUUCUGUGAAUGGAAGGCUGAAUGUGAAGCAUCGUGCAUGCAUCCACUGAAAAGCGUCGUCUGCAUAGCAGUGUUCCUUCCCUAGAGACAUCAGGCCGGCUAUGUAUAGCACUUUCACCACCUCUUGACAUCAGAUCCAGCUAUGUAACUCCACCACCAAAAAUAAAAAAUGGUCAUCCAUCCUACCAUGGCUUAACCGCAAACAAAACAAGAAAAAUAAAAAAGAUACGUCCAGCCGAUAAACAACAAGAGCGCCAAAAAAAGCCAAUAGCAAAAUGCCCAAACAAUGGAGGCAGGCAAAUCUGAUGCAAUACAGAAAAAUGUAAGAUAUAAAUAGCUUGUGCUUAUGAAGAAAUACUAAUUAACGAAUGUCAUUAGUAAAGGGGUGUGUUCUUGAAGCAACCCCUCAAUAUGGAUAUAUAUAUACUCUUCAUAUCAAUAUAUAAAAUCGCUUGAUUCGUUCUCUCUCUCUCUCUCUUUUAACUUCAUUCUACAUUUUUUUCAUAUUUUUUGCUUUAGGUUUUCCUUUUUUACUUUUAUGAAAUAUUGUUGAACCACACACAUGCGCGCAGACACAAUUGUUUUGGAGAAAUACACGAACAUUUCUUAUUAAAAAUGCAUGAACAUUUUUUAAAAUCUCAAGAUCAAGUUUUAAAACUCAUUUUUUUCAUAUAUGUGAAUACCUAAAUGCGUGAACGUUCAAAAUAAAUAAAUACUUGAGCACAGUUUAUAACCACGUGAACAUUUUUUGAAUGCGUAGUCAUUUCUUAAAAGGAAAUAAAAGUGAAGAAAAAUAACAAACAAAAAGAAAAAGGAAACAUCUGACCAACCUAUGCUAAUGGGCCGUCCCAAUAUAUAAGGUAGCGGGCGCUAUAAAGGGUCCUAUCCGGGAUAAGUUUUGUGCUGUUGGGGCUCUAUGGCCAGCGCAAGUGUGAAUUUUCUCUAAAACACGCGUCGUAUUUAACCUUUUUUUAGAAGAGUGCUGUAUGUAACUAAACGAUGUCUUUUUUCUCACAUCUAAAACCGACCUCUAACAAACGUGGAGGACGGCACCACCUCCUAACAUAAUUUUGGAGGAGCCGGACGACGAAGCCUCAAAAUCAGAUAAAGAUCCUCUUCAAAAAAAAAUCAGAUAAAGAUGUCUCCGACGCAACUGGACUUCCACUAGAUUUUUAUAGGGGUCGGGAGGGAAAGAUAUGCUGUUUUCUAUCAGUCCCAAGCGGAUACUCCCCAGCUUUCACGGUCCGCUUACCGAAGAAGAGAUGCGGGAGGACCCAGGGCCAGAGCAAGUUGGGUUGGGGUAUAGAACCGUAAGCGCGGUGGGGGUGACAGAGGAUGUGCUCGUGCGGUUCAUAGUUGGGUAAGGAAAACCUUCUAGCUCAGUGUAACUAAAGUCCACAACCCAGAGACCAACCCUAGGGAAAAAAUUGACUCAUGACGAAGAAUGACGCGGCAAAGCGCAUGAUUGUUUCUUGUGUUACUUGAAGCCCACAAAAUGAAUUGACCCAUCUAACAAGUGGUUAUCUCCAUUCAAAAAUAAUUGACGCGGUUUUAGUUGAAUUUGUUUGAGGGGAUUUUACUUUUAGUUUUAACUAAAACCACAUCGGUUAUUUCUGACAGAGGUAAAAAAUCACAUGUCGGCGAGGCCUACUGAAUUAUGUUCUUGGUGACAAGUGUCUUGCCCAUGUAACACAUGUUUUCAGUGCUUCGACACAAGACCCACGCUGUAACCUCACUUGUCCUUCUGGGAAAAUACUCCGACAUAAUCUGAAUAAUAAUGCGACAUAGCGAGACUGGCAUAUCACUAGGAAUAUGGUCCCUGUCUGUUGUGCCAAAUACAAUUCGUGAUAAUUUGAAGCUCACAAAACGAGUCGGCGCCUCUAGCAAGUCAUUAUCAAGAAAGAGAAUCACUAGUCGACGAUGCCUGGAAAAAUUAGAUUUCCAAGAUUUCAUCCUCACUUGUUUGAGAAAUAUUCCAAUUUGGUAAUGUGGCACAUCAUUGAUAAUAGCUAGACGACGGGAUCACUGCACGAAAUGGUACCUGACCAUUCGUCUCUUCCAAAUACAAAUUUGGCACACGCGACGGCUGGACGCAUGUACCACCAUACGAGUAGCUGGUCCACGUCGGCCACUGCGAAAGGGCAGCUGAUUCCACACACUGUCUCUCCUGUCAAGCGGGCCCCACACGCCAGGCCCGCCGACGGAAGGGCCACGACGAACCAUCACGCACUAAAAGAAGAGAAGUUGCUCAAAAAGAAGAAGAAGAGAAGACAUCUAAAUCAAACAUAACAUGACGUCAUCUUAAAAAAAUGAAGCACACUAUAUAUUUCGCCGCAAGCAUCCGAAACAUGUACCACCCAUGACCAUACGAAAAUGAACCCAAACAGUUGUGAUCGACAUCCAUGAGCUGAUUUCCCAGAAAAGGCAUGCAUGGAUACACUAAAGCAAAUUUACAACUAACUUGCGGCCAUCCAUGAUUAAUCGUUCGAAUGAACUAAUUUGUGGCGAUGUGGCUGAGUGUGAGGGCAGGAAAAUCAUGUAAUGGGGGGCUUUUAUUUUGAUAUAGUAGAUUCAGCACGAAGAGUAGAGAACCCAUGCCCUCAUCGAUCAUCACAACUACUCUUAUGAGUUGUUUUCAAGAAUAUAUAUAUGACGUAGUUGUAGUGCUAGAAUGCGAAGCCCACAAAAUGAAUCGGCUCCUCUAAUGGGUCGUUAUCAAGAAAGGAAAAAGUCAUUAUCAAAAAUGAAAAUUAUAUGCCGGUGAGGCCAGCUAAAUCCAGCUAAAUUAGAUUUCUUGGUGAAAAGCGGCUUGCACAUGGACCACAUGUUUACAGUGUUUUUGAUACACAAGAUCUCAGAUGUAACCUCACUUGUCUUUUUGGGAAAAUACUCUGACAUAAUCCGAAUAAUUAUGUGGCAUGAUGAGACAUAUCACUGGAAAAAUGGUCCACAUCCACCUGCGCUAAAUACAAAUGUGUGAUAAUGUUAAGUUGCAAAAAUGGGCCGACACCUGUACCAAGUCAUAAUCAACAACAAUAAUCAGAUGUCGGCGAUGCGAUGCCUGUAAAAUUUUCUUUUUAUAACAAAAAAUAACUCCAAGGAGCCAGCGCGCACCGAAGAGAAAGACGCGUGGAGGAAAGUUAAAAGGAAAAGGGAAAAGGUUAAAAAAAAAAGGAAGACAGCGACGGAUCGAUCGGGAGCGAGCGAAGCGAACAAAAGCGCCCCACGGACCUCGCCGUCCUUCUCCAUGCCCUAGCGCGCACAGCACGGCACAGCCCACNNNNNNNNNNNNNNNNNNNNNNNNNNNNNNNNNNNNNNNNNNNNNNNNNNNNNNNNNNNNNNNNNNNNNNNNNNNNNNNNNNNNNNNNNNNNNNNNNNNNNNNNNNNNNNNNNNNNNNNNNNNNNNNNNNNNNNNNNNNNNNNNNNNNNNNNNNNNNNNNNNNNNNNNNNNNNNNNNNNNNNNNNNNNNNNNNNNNNNNNNNNNNNNNNNNNNNNNNNNNNNNNNNNNNNNNNNNNNNNNNNNNNNNNNNNNNNNNNNNNNNNNNNNNNNNNNNNNNNNNNNNNNNNNNNNNNNNNNNNNNNNNNNNNNNNNNNNNNNNNGAUCUGAAUUUCUGCACGGGCGGUCUCCCACGAGGAGUGGGGUGUCGCGGUCGCGCCGACGGUGUCGGGAUCGGCGGCCCGCCAAUCGCCGCGGCGGGGGAGUGGUCCGCGUUUCUCCGCUGAUUCGGCCUCCGCCGCUGGCAGAUCUGUUCGGAAGCGUGCGUGUGGGGUUCGGUCUAGAGGUCUGAUCGAGGUUCUGCCCGUGCCGCGGGGGUUGGUCGGGGGAUUCAGAAUCGUCGAUGCCGAAUUUUGCUAUGGCGAAUCUGCACCUCUGACGGGAUCUGCGGGUGCUGCUGGAUUCUGUUGUAAGAGCGCCCACCUUAAGGUGGUUGCAGUUGCGUUUAAUUGUUAGGUCUCCUUCGAGCCCUCGCCGAGUAAGAGUUAUGUAGAGUGUAGUUGUGCUUGCUGCGAGCCGUUUGAUGAUGUUGACUUGGAUUAUUUGCGCCAAGAGGAGGUGUUGCGCCUUUAUUAUUACUCCCUCCGUUCCAAAAUAGAUGACUCAACUUUGUACUAACUUUAUACUACAGUUAGUACAAAGUUGAGUCAUCUAUUUUGGAACGGAGGGAGUAUUAUGUUACUGCAUUACUGGGAAAAUUACCCUUGCCUUUUAUGGACGAAUAGGAUAAUUGAUGGAAACGUCAAUUACCUUUUAACGACUUUUUUACCUGCUGUACCCGCCACAUGCCGACAUUUUUGACAUCUUGUACACGCAGGAGUAUGAUUAACUACCACUAGAAUUGCGUAGGUCUUGACAAAGUUACGUCUCAUUUCUGCAGGUCUUUGUUUGCUGCCCUCCAACACUGUGCUGUGCAAUAACCUCUUGAUAACAUACCAAGUCAAGAGGUAAUCAUGGCCGAUUCCAUGGCGGAUUCGAUGGUGGCGAGCUUCUGGGGGCCGGUUACAUCAACCACUGAGCUGUGCGAGGAGAACUAUGCGCGCUCGUCAUACAUUGCAGAGUUCUACAAUACUCUCUCUAAUGCCCCGUGCAUUCUUUUGGCGCUUAUUGGGCUUGUGAAUGCUCUCCGCCAGCGUUUCGAGAAGCGCUUCAGCGUCCUGCACAUAUCCAAUAUGAUACUUUCCAUUGGGAGUAUCAUCUUCCAUGCAACCUUGCAACAUGUGUAAGUUUUUAGUUAACUGUACUGGUAUUCUUGGUUGGUAUUAAUUGUAAUCAUGCAAUUCUGGGAGUUAGCCCUUUUGCUUGUUGAAUGUUGUUCUUUCCUACUACGCGCAUCUUGCAAAUUGUGCACACAAUGAUUGAGUGGGUUUUGGUUACAACAUUUUAUCUCAUGUGGUAGAAACUAGGGUAAUUUCCUCUUUCUUUUUUAUUAGUUAUGGCUUUGCUUCAAAACAUCAAAGUUAAAAUUUAAGCUCCCUACCAUUUUGAGGAGAAAAAAGCUCUACAACGCCAGUUGUUAAUUUGCUCAGAGGUGGUUUCUUCCUUCACCGUGACCAUUUUCAUUAUCUUUUUGGCUGAUUUUCUCUCUACAGUGGUUACAGCUUAGUAAGUGAACAUGAUGUAGUAUUGGCGACUAUAAAUUGUUGAAAUACAGAGAACGUAUCAUUAUUUGUAGAUCUGAGUUUGUUAGGUACUAUCUCCCAUGACACACCUUUUACAUUUAGCGACUCGAGCUUGCAUUUGAUUGAGAGUUUCGGAUUACAGAAAAUAAAUGCACCUUUUAUGAACCUAUAUUUACUGCCAUUUGAAUCAUUUGCAGAAGAUAUUUUGUUAACAUGAAUUUGUGUUAAGUUUGUAUUAGUACUAUAAUAUAUUGCGCCCUGCUAUUGUGAUUGUUAUCUUGCCGUUCUUGACCUGAAUUUUUCUUUGAUCUCGCUGCUGUGGAUAUUCAAAGAAGUGCAUUUUACUUCCGCUGACUAUUGCUUACAACAGUGUUGUUAUUAUCCGUUGCACAAAGCCAAAAGCCAUAAACAAUACAUUCUUUGUUACUUCUAUGUGAUUCUGUUAGAGCACCUUGUAAAUUUUUGGUGAACGUUCCCUUUAAUAAUUUGAAAAUUUCCCUACUCUGAGAAGUUACAAAAAUACAGGCAAAUUACAAACAAAACAGGACCGUCUUUAUAGGUCGAAAACUUGGGUACAGAAGGUUGCAUUGAUAAAUUACAAGCCACAUUAGAUUGUUUUCUCCAUUGAGUCUUGCUUUCAAAACUCUAUGCUUAUUUGAUGUGAUGCACUGAUGAGUGAAUAUGCACUUGCGCACCCCAACGAGUGAUUUAUUUGGAAUGUUUUGAAUUAAAAAUUGGGCAUGUUUGUACUUAUGCCCUGGCUGACCAUCAACAACUGGUGCAGCUGUUCAUUGCUGAAAUGGUGUCUGUGUUAAAUGGUUUUCUUAUGUUUAUGACAAAAUUUCAGUAGUUACAGGCGCUCACUAUUUGCCACUCCUGUUGGUCCUUCAAAAAAUGCAUUAGGGUAAUCUAGCUGCCUUUUGGUUGGCAAAUUAGUAAAUUGGAAGUCUCCCGGAUAAAGCAACUUACGUGUUUUGGUGGACACACGAGGCCCCUCCCAAUGCUCCACCUUGUACAGGUGCUAAGGCUGCCAUGUAGGCUAAAAGUCUGAUGUGGCAAGGUAAUUAAGAGGAGAGAGGUGAGUGGUGACCCCAGGAAGAAACAAUGCGAAGCGCGAGAACCUAGGCAAAACAUUUAAAUGGAAGAAUCCCACCAAUACAUGAAGAACUUUAGUUGCAAAAUUAUUAAAUGAAGGAUGCUUAGCACCAACAAGUUAAGCACCUAUGCAUUGGGGGCUUUAGUUGCUAAAGUUUUUAAUGUGCUUAGCACCUCAUGUAAGCACCAAUGCAUUGGAAGUAGCCUGAUGCACAUCAUUAGUUACCACUUACCUCCUUAACAACUGUCUGUGCUGCAUGUACUUUGAAUUAUAAAUACCAUAUCCGUUACAUCACAAUCACAAUCAGUGAGUUGCUUCAAGUACUAUGUAGAGGGGAUGCAUUCCUGUAAUUAAGACCAUGAUGUGCAAGUUAAAAUUCAUUCUCUCUUAAUCUGUUGAGUAAAGGCUGUGCAUUUGAGUCCUCAUGGAUCAUCACAGGCAUUUUCUUGGUGUGCUUCUCAGUUUCAGCAUGUCUAACUAAAGCCAAAUUCUUCAUAUUAUUUUCUUUCUUUUUUGCUUUACUGCAUGCAAUAUAUAAUAUAAUAUAUUGAUUUGUGUUGGCCAUAUUUCGUUUUCCAGCUUACAGCAGAGUGAUGAGACUCCAAUGGUGUGGGAAAUCCUCCUAUAUCUGUAUGUCCUUUAUUCACCAGACUGGCAUUACAGGAGCACCAUGCCUACUUUCCUUGUCCUAUACGGUGCUGCAUUUGCUGUAGUUCACUUCUUCGUGCGAUUCCAAGUAGUAUUCAAGUUGCAUUACAUUGGCCUCUGCCUUCUCUGCAUCCCGCGGAUGUACAAGUACUACAUUCAGACGAAAGACCUGGCUGCCAAGAGGCUCGCGAAGCUGUGGGUUCUUACCAUAUUCCUGGCGACAGUUUGCUGGCUAGUUGAUCGCAUCUUCUGUAAGAAGCUCUCGCUCUGGGUCAUCAACCCGCAGGGACACGCAUGGUGGCAUGUGCUUAUGGGCUUCAACUCUUACUUUGCAAACACAUUCUUGAUGUUCUGCCGAGCUCAGCAGCGUGGGUGGGAGCCGCGCAUUAUCCACCUCUUUGGAUUUUUGCCUUAUGUCAAGAUUCAGAAAUCCAGAAAGAGGGAGUAAGUCAUCUGUCGAGUCGAUCAGCGGUGUUCUGCAGGACCAGAAAUCUAAUGUCCACCAAGCGCGCAAAAAAACAAGCGGUGGCAUUUUUUGUAAAUGGGCUUCCAAGUGAUUACGGACUACAAAUGAAUGUCAGUCAGUGAUGUCUCGAUUGAUUUUGGUAACUUUUAACUAACGCCCUGUUUUGUACCAUACUCGAUUUCAACCAGAGAUUAGCUGGAGUGCCCGUCUCUUACUUUCAAUCUGCAGCAGUUUGUCUUUGCGAACUUAUAGGACUUCUUAUUUUUAUUCUUUGAAUUUGACUUGAAAUGGGAUUGAAUUGUAUUAGUUUAACUUACUGCUGGGGUUGGAUGGUGUCAGAUUCAUGUUCGUGGUAACAGUUGAUUCUUUCGUUAAUCGAUGCUAUUUGUGAACUAGUGCCUGGAGGCUGGUGUGUAUUACGUUUGAUCUUUGUGCACCAGCUGAUUGUGGAAGCAUGGCUAUGAGUCUUAGAGCAAUUUUAUUUUCCUAAUUGUUCAUUGAACUUGCUCACACAAGCAAAAGGGUAGCCAUCAAGGUGCUGAAAGUUGAAAAUGAAGGUUGAAACGCACACAUUUCUGCUCGCCAUUGGUUUUCUCCCGGUUUUUUGAAUUAACUGGGCGAUUCUCUUCUUAAUUAAUUUGAUUGAUGGGGCAACACUUUCGCCUCCGUUUAGGAGAAGAAAAUUCUGCUCAUCGUGUCAUCAUCCUAUACCAUGCUUCUGGCCUGUGCACGUCAUGCCUGUACUUGUCUAGUGAUAGUCUUGAUGGAAUGAUGGGGACCCUUGACUGCCAAUGUCGAAUCAAUGCUUCAGCCCAUGAGCCAUGUCUAUGAGGCUGCCGACUAGGAAGGAGUGGAAAUCGACACAGUAGUUAGUUUUGGGGACAGGGAUUGAUGUAAAGGGGAUCGUAAGGGCAACUCCAAACGGGAGUCGCCAAAUGUCUCAACCAGCGUGUUCGGACAUUUUUUGCCAUCCACCGGCAGUCAUCAAAUAUCUGUAAACUAACCCGAACGUUUGAAAUCACACAAACAGCCCCCAAACUUAUAGGUGGCUGUGCCUAAGACCAACGACAAAGCGCUCUGAACUUAGGGAAGGAUUGGGGGAGUCCGGACACACGAACUCAGCCUUGAACCCAUCAUAAAUUCAUUUUGUAUCUUUCUUUUCUCUGAUCUUUGCAUUGGACAAGGGACGGGUAUUUGUAAAUGCUAACCUGGACGUUUGAAAUCCCACCAACAGCCCCCAAACUUAGAGGAGGUUUGGGGGAGUUCGAACACGCUAACCCGGCCUUGGACCAACCACAAAUCGCCCCUAAACUUAGGGGAGGGUUGAGGGAGUCCAGACACACAAACUCAACCUUGACCCCAUCAUAAAUUAAUCGUUUGUCUUUCUUUUCUAUGAUCUCUACAUUGGACAAGGGGCGGAUAUUUGUUGGAUGGCCGGCGCCCUGGAGUGCCAAUGUCGACUUCAAUCCAUGAGGCUGCCGACUACGUAGGAAGGAGUGGAGAUCGACAUGGUACUUAGUUUGGGGGGAAUGCAUUGAUGGCAAAGGGGAUUGUAAGGGCAACUCGAAACGGGAGUCAUCAAAUCGUCAAAUGUCUGAACAGGCGUGUUCAGGCAUUUUUUUGCCAUCCACCGGCAAUCAUCAAAUAUCUGUAAACUAGCUUGGACAUUUGAAAUCCCACAAAUAGCUCCCAAACUUAAGAGGAGGUUUGGGGGAGUCCGAACACGCUAACUCAGCCUCAGACCAACCACAAAACGCCCCGAACUUAUGGAAGGGUCGGGGGAGUCCGAACACACGAACUCAGCCUUGAAUCCAUCAUAAACUCAUUUUCCAUCUUUCUUUUCUGUGAUCUCUGCAUCGGACAAGGGACGGAUAUUUGUUGGAAGGCCGGCACCACCAUCACUGUCCGCAAACACAUCCGGACAUUCGAGGAGGUUCGUUUUGGUGACCUCCCUUGGAGAAAAAGUACGUUCCAAACAAUAUUCUACAUCUAGAACCGCCCCACUGUCAAAAACUGGUGCAAUAAUAAGAAUCAUAUCGCGGCUACGCGUCCUCCGAAUGCCGGCACGAAUUCGAAUCAAGAUCUAGGGUGAAAACGGGGAUAAGAUUCCACGAUCUCCACACUGACUAGUCGGCGCAUUAUCUCGCUCACACUUGGCCAAUAAAAAUGCACCCACCACCCCUGAAAUUCCAUCUAUCUACCAGUCAAGAAACAAAACCCUGGUUGCAUCGACCACCAGUCACAAGAAAUUCAGGAGCACUUGAGAUGAACCAAGAUUCGACAGCGAAAAAAAUAAACCGAAACGAUUUCACAUUAUUAUCAUUGCAAUUAUCAUCCAUGAACAAUAGAGGAAUCAACAACAUCUUCUGACCAAAAACAAGGCCAUGGUGUAAAUCCUCUCACAAAUCAUGUUGAAGGAAGAAUUAGAAUUAAAACAUAUUUGGGGACCUGGAACUAUAGCAUGCCCGGGUAACCAUUUAUACCCCGUCAGUACAUCAAGUAUCCAUGUCAUCACAACAAUAAACAAAAUAAACAGCAACCACCAAGGUAAAAAAAGAGGAAAGAAUUCUGGCAUGGCACAUGAGCCUUCUUCUUUUAAAAUUUAAUAUAACAGGGUUAAUUAACAGAAUAGACAACUAAAUCUUUUCUGGCUGAUGAGAUGAACUGAAGCUGCCGGGGUGCGAUUCUCUCUACCUCCGUUCGGCCCCAAACUGAGGUAGGUAACUCCACUCUUUAAUUUAACCUCCUACUGGAAAUGGAAACUCAAUAGUUGUGUAUUGAUUUACCUCCCAAAAAUUAACGAAAACCAAUCCCUGAAUCACCGCCUUCAGCUAUCCAUCCAUCCUUUUCGCUUGCUUGCUUGCUUGCUGACUGACCACCGCAAUGAACAGAAAAUCAAAAAAAUACUUGCAAUUCUUCUUUAGCUAACAAUGGUAACUUCUUCUCGCACCUCCCCCCCGGGCUCGUCUGGUUGUUCGUCUAUGUUGCUGCUAGACUACCAAUCUGCUCGUCAAGCUGCAUCUGCUCGAGCAGCGCUCCAAUAACCGCGGCUUGGUCAUGUCGGUUCAGCUGCGUGCUCACACUGGGGCCUUCACCAUUACUUACACCGGGAUGCAUUUGAGGUGAAGGUCUAACAGAGUUGUUGAUGGAUUCAGCUGUGGUCACUUGCUUCUCUGGUGGAGACUCCUUGACCAGUGUGUGCACCCAGGAGAGAUCUGGGUCGUCGCCGCCUGAUCUCAGCUCAAAGGAAGAUGACCGGCGAAGCUUACCCAAUUCUUCACCGUUGACGCCCCAAUCCGGUGCCCCUGAAGGAGAUCCCCACUUGGACCAUGAUGAGCUCAGAGGAGAGCCAACAGCAGCCGAUGCUCUUGCAGCACUGGGCCCGAGAUCGCGAGAACUGAGGCUCCUCAUUGUCUGCUGGUGCUGUUGGUGCUGCUGCUGCUGUUGCUUCUCACGCUGGGCAAGGGCGGCAGCUAGGUGGGAGUUCAUCGGUGACCCAGAUUCGACGCAGCGGGGGGACAUCCGGCCAGGGGAGGAUAUCCCAAGUGAUGCUUGCAGGAGGGAUGAGCGUGAAUGCAUCUGCUGGUUAUCCACAGCCUUUGGCGAGAACCCUGUGUUGAUUGGUGAAAGAAGUUGCUGCUGUUGCUGGAACUGGUUAAGGAUAGCAGCCUUCUGGGAAGGUGAAAACAUAGCACCCUGAUCAGCAUUGUUGUACCUCGGGGACGAGACCAUCUCGGCAGAGAAGAGAUCAUCCAGGUUUGAAGGGUUCAGACUCUUGGUCCGAGAACUGUGGUUCCCUCCUGCUGAUGAACCAAGACGCGAGUAGCACAGAUCGUUUAUAAGCUGGGAAUCAAUAUCCUGCAACAGGGAGUAGUCAUCCACAGGCAUAUCCCUUGCAUUGAGUGAGCUUCGGAGUCUGCUCGACUGAAGGCUGCUGCCCGGAAGGUGUAGCGUCGGAACAUUUGGCUGCUGCCAGCCCAGAGAAGGGGGCAUCCCAUUGCCAGAAGGAGACCUCGGUGGGGUAAAUGGGGACAUGACUACCGAGACCGAUGACGGAGAACCGGGCAUCAAGCCCAUUGCUGCUGCCAUCUCCAUUGCAGCUGUUGCUGAGGCCCUAGGGGAUGGCACCGCAGACCCAGUGGAGACAUACAGCGGGCGGAGCUCAUCGGUGGUGUGCGCAAAGAAACAGACGCGGCGAUUGCAGCCGGUGCCAUCCUUGCAAAGGCGAGUGCGGUAUUGCGCUGGGUGGAGCCAGCACUCAAACACCCCAUGAGCAUACUCACACAUGUCUCCACGCCGGCACACACCCUUUCUGAAGUCAGGGCAUGGAACACAACUGUAGUGAUACUUGCGCGGAUCGCGGCGCCGAGCGUUCUCCCCAGGGUGCACAAAGGGGCACUCGGUCCAGUCAUGCGAGUAUGCCCGGGAGCACGGCCUGAUCUUGAAGGAGUACAUGCGGAACUCAUCAGAGGCAUAGAUGCUGUUCUUGAUAUCCGGCAGGGAUGGAUCCACUGGGUAUUCCUUCUUCUCUGAGGUUGCAACCCUCGGCAGGUCUGGGAACUUUGACAUCAUCAUCACAGCAGCUGAUGGAGACCGGGCGUCCUCGGCGGUGGGUGAUGACACCGGCGACGAGGUCAGGUUUGUGGCCCUGGUCACCACCCGGAGCACGCCAUGCCCAGACUUUGGGAGCCCAAGCAGAUCUUGGAGGGCGAUCUUCGCAUCAAUCAUCUUUGGCGGCACAGAGAUCACAUCGGCCGGACGGCACCCGGACGCAUCUGCGGCAUCGGCGUCAGCCCCGGCCACCAGAAGCAGCCUGACGGCCUCGACGGCCGAGGACGAGCCGCCAGAGGCGGCGCAGUGGAGGGCGGUGGUGCCGUCGGGGCCGCAGCGGCGGUUGACGUCGACGGAGGGGACGGACAGCAGCAGGCGGAGCGCGGCGAGGCUGCCGUAGGUGGCGGCGACCAUGAGCGGGGUGCGCUGCUCGAGGGCCUUCCGGCGGCCGUACCAGAGGCCGGCCUCGUCCGCGGCGGCGGGGGGCGCGCGCUCCAGCGCGCGGCGCAGGCCGUCCGCGUCGUCGUCGGCGGCGAGCUCGAGGAGGCCGGCGAAGGCGUCGUCCGUGUCGACGGUGAGGUGCCUGGCCAUCUCGGCGACCGCAUUCUUCUUGGGCGUCGUCGCGGCGUCGGCGCCGGCCGCCGCGGGGAUCGGCGCGCCGUUCAUCUUCUUGGCUCGCCGGAUCGAAGCGACUGAACCAAAAAAACAUGAGUCAAGAAGCCAGUCAAGCGAGGUCCGAAAUAGCACGGCGAGAUGGACUGGAAACCUGCCGAAUCGGACGCGAAAUACAACGGGAAAGGGAGGAAAAACCGAGGCUACAAAAAUGGAAGCGCGGCGACCGAAUCCACGGAAAGAUCUCCGGGGAAGCAAAAACCAAUCUUUGGCUAGAUCAGGAGCCCGUCAAAGCUCGGGCCCUCGGCCGGAGCCGCCACCCGGCAGAUCGGAGCGAGGAGAGGGGGACGGAGCGGAGCCUGACCUGUGCACGGCGGCAGCUUGUGGCGCGGCGGACCAUGUCAGUAGCACGCCAUGGGCGACGUCGCCGGCGGAAAGAUCCCGGAAAUCUCCACGGAGAGCCGAAUCUGGGGAGAGCGGGAGGGCGUGGUGGUGGGUGGAAGCGGCCGGCCGGCGCGGUGUUCAGGGCAAAGAUUUGGGGGCGAUCUAUCUACUAUCCCCUAUCCGGUUCGCGAUUGAUGGGGGAAGAAGAAGCGGAAGCAUGGGGUGUGUGCGGGGAGGAGAGAGAGAGANNNNNNNNNNNNNNNNNNNNNNNNNNNNNNNNNNNNNNNNNNNNNNNNNNNNNNNNNNNNNNNNNNNNNNNNNNNNNNNNNNNNNNNNNNNNNNNNNNNNNNNNNNNNNNNNNNNNNNNNNNNNNNNNNNNNNNNNNNNNNNNNNNNNNNNNNNNNNNNNNNNNNNNNNNNNNNNNNNNNNNNNNNNNNNNNNNNNNNNNNNNNNNNNNNNNNNNNNNNNNNNNNNNNNNNNNNNNNNNNNNNNNNNNNNNNNNNNNNNNNNNNNNNNNNNNNNNNNNNNNNNNNNNNNNNNNNNNNNNNNNNNNNNNNNNNNNNNNNNNNNNNNNNNNNNNNNNNNNNNNNNNNNNNNNNNNNNNNNNNNNNNNNNNNNNNNNNNNNNNNNAAAUGGAUAAUUUGGUUGUGCUGCCUAGUGUUGAGUGUGUGCACAAGUAGUAGUUGCUUGGUUUAGCAAAAACACAUAUCAUGUCUUAGCUAAAACAUCAUUUGCUUUGUUUAUGAUUUGGUCUGUGUAGCUCUAUGCUAAGCUUAUUACUCAUUUUGAAAUAAGACUUUGGGAAACUCUGACAUAAGUACUCGGUAACAAUAACAUAAGGCAAUAUAUGGCGCGCCAGGCGUGGCCCUAUGCGGAAUUCUUUCCUUUAAUGUAGACUCGCCAAAAUGAUGUGUAUGCCUGCCUCCCACAAUUUGACAGCUCUAUAGUAUGUCGUGUGCCUGAAGGCGCAAAGCAAAACAAAACUUGCAAUAGCUUUCUCUGUGACAUGAUUACAGCAAGAAUCAUGCGACCGGCGCCAUCCCAGGCGACCCCCACGUUUCCAUAACCGGCGCCAUCCCACACGUACGGCACGGCAGCGCGAGUGCGGGCGGUGCGGUGCGGGGCGUCCCUGUCUGUCGCGUCGCGCCUUCCUUCUCGAAACUCACGUCGCCCCGCUUGUCGGCACCGCACCGUCUCGUCGGCUUGCGCUGCGCCGCGACGCCUUUUCCACCGGACGUCCACGUCCACGUCCGUGUCCCCUGUGACAAUGGGCGUGACGUCGCGCCAGGGGCGAGCGAGCGACUCGUUCGGUUGGUGCGUGGCGGCACCCGGGGACAAGGAGGAGCCGACCGAGCUCUCUUCCGGCCGCGGACCGGCGCGCCCGGCAGCCGGGGAAAAAAAUUAUAUGAGACCAGGUCUCAUGGUUAGUAGGUGAGACCCGUCCUGAUGGAUGAUACGUGGUUAGCAGGUGAGACCCGUCGUAUGGAAAAGCAUCUAAUCUCUUUUCCCCCUAUUUUAAAUGGGGGAAUGGGGGAUGCUUUGUGGUUUUGUGAAUGGUACGUGUCAACCAUCAGAAUGGGCCUCGCGUGAGACCUGGUCUCAUAGAAUUCUUUUCCGGCAGCCGGUGGCGAUGUUUCGAGCCACGGUGCCGGAGCAUGCAGCGGCAGUGGCGACUGACGGACCUGUUUCCAGCCAUUGUCGAGGGACCGUGAGGCCUUAUACAAUGCUAGGUGAUUAGAGAGAUGCUUAAAAAAAUAAACCAGGUUUUCUAAAGCAUCGGUGCCUAUUUCUACACGAGAGACGCCUAAUUAAGCGUCUACCCUGUGUAAAUAAGCACCGGUGCUUAAGAAAAGCCUGAUUUAUUUUUUCAAACGUCUUUUCUAAACACCUUUGCAUUGUACAAGGCCUAAGGCCAACUCCACCGCACAACCCCAAACAAACGUUCGAUUUGGCCGAAUUUUGUUUCUUUGUGGCAAUAAUGGAUUCGCCCAUGUCCGUGUCUGUUCGUUGGAUCGUGGGUGCGUCCAAGCGUGGCCGCACCCCAAAUCAUGUAUGUGUUGGACGUGAUUAAAAAACAGAAAAACUAAAAUAAAAUGAUUAAGAAAAGUAAAUAAACGCAGUUAAAAAAACUUAAAACAUAAGUUCGGGUUCACGGCCACAAAACGGCCCAGUUUCACGGUUCACAUUGCCAUAAUUAACAUAAAAAAUAAAAUAAGAACGGCCGCCGCCCGCGCGCUCCUGCCGUGCCUGUCAAUGCCGUCGCCGUUGCUGUCUUUAGUGGCCACCGGUGUCGUCAUCGUCGCUGACGAGGCCGAGCUACUUAGGCGGCGUCCAGAGGUGGGCCGGCGGAGCGUGGUGGACGGGGGUGGGCUGGAAGGCGGGAGGUGCCUGCACCACCUCCUCCCGUGGCGACGCGUCCCGCUCCGGUGACCGCGGCGGCGUGGGGCACCAGUUCGCGACCCCACGGCGUCGGCCAUCUCCGGAGCCAAGCACAACCAGCUCCAGUGCUGCCCAACCAGGGCCGGGUGGAACGCGGUCACCAACUCCUCCUCCGCCCUCGCCAUAUCCAGCACGGGGAUGGCGACGUCGCCGACCGCAGAUAGGGCCAUCGUCUCCUCGAGGCCCGGCCAUUGGCGCUCAUCGUGCGUGUUCAUGGAGUCCUCCGUGACACAUUGCAUGAGCCGGGCCUCCUCCUCCGCAGUCAUGCGAGGAGGUGAAGGUGGCGACGAAGAUGGGGACGGCGACGGCGUGGGCGUGAGGCCGCGCACCCGCGUACGCCCGCGCACCUCCCGAUGUGGCCGCCGCGGCCCCGACAUCGUGUCGUCGAAGUAGGAAGCGCGCCGCACGUCGUGCUCGUCCUGAAGCCACGUUUCCCAGAGCCCGGAGUCGGGGGCGUACCUUUCGUCGUAGUAGAGGUCGUCGGGGAGGAGACGGCGUCGGUGCGUGAUCUCAUCGUGGCGCGCACGCCCGCUCAUCGGUGCCGGCGGGAUUGGGACCCGGUCGGCGGAGAGGUGCCAGUUGUUGGGCAGGUGGACGUCGCUCCACAUGACCGGCGUCCGCGUCUCCCAAUAACGUCGGCAUACGUCCAUGCCCAGCUACUGCCGGUCGCGCUCGCCGGCGGCCCUAGGGGCGAUGCUGAACGGGGCAGGCGCGGGGGCCCUACGCGGCGGCGAAGCGACUUCCUCUUUCACGGAGCCGCGGCGGCACCCCGAGGAGGAGCUGGCCUCGCAGUCGUGCUUCCUUUUGCGGCCGUGGUUCCAGAACCCCAUGGCUGCGAGGCGGCCGGCCGACGAGCUCGAGGACGGGGAGAGGCUAGGAUUUUAGGGGUGACGGGUUUCGAGGAGGCAGCUGGCUGGAAGUGGAAGUGUAGACGACGACGACCGGUCCACGGCCUCCCCAUUUAAGAAGGACGAUGACUGUGCGCCUGGGCGGAUGACAGGUAGGGCCGAUCACGCAUGCGCAUUGAUGUGGGAGGGUGGGAGGUAGGUGGUCGUCUGUCACGCAGCCCCGUCGCGGACGAGCAUCGCGUCCGUUUGCUGUCCGCCGUGACCCAAACUGGACGCAUGUUUGCGCUCAAAAUGGGUCGGCGCGGACACAAAACGGAUCAGAUGGGUCCAGGCCGUCACGCGCUAGGCCGUCUGAUUUGUCCCUUUUACCCCAAACGGACGGGACCGAACGGGAUGGCGUCGCGCGGUGGAAUUGGCCUAAGAGCAUCUCCAGCCGCGCCCCAAGAAGGCCCCCCGGGCGAUUUUUCGGCCGCCGGCGAUGAAAAAUCGGCCCAUUCGUGCCCCCAAAGGCCCUUUUUUCGCCGGCUCGGGUCGAAAUUGACGCUGGCCGACCCAGGCCGAACCCGACGCGCUGGGGGACGCCAGCCGAAACAUUUUUGGCGCAAAAAUCGGUGGACCCUCCUUGGCAGCGACUCGGCUCUUCUCGCCGCUUCGUCGCCCUCAUCGCCUCGGUCCCCGUGGCGGAAUUGAUGCCAAAGCUGCCGAGCCGGUCAGCCUCCUCCAUUGAUGCCUCACAGGCGGCGCAGUGAAGACGGGACGACGCGUGUCCCUCGCCCGCCACGCGUACGCGCGGCGCAUACGCCUACGUAGGUGACUGGUUCGUUGGUGCGUGGCCGUGGCGGCACCCGAGGACAAGCAGGAGCCGACCGAGCUCUCUUCCGGCCGCGGACCGGCGCGCGCCCGGCAGUUGGUGGCGAGGUUUCGAGCCAUCGUCAAGGGACCGUAACGCCGUAGUCUUCUCCACCUACGCCGGUGCAAAUUGCACUCGUGCGGUCUCGACCACUCCGUGCGACAGACUCACAGCGCAGACGCGUUCGGGUUAGCUGCACAUCAGGGCAUCUCCAACGUUUUUUUAAACACAGUACAGACACAAGCGCUCGUAUACACGCACGCACACUCACCCCUAUGAACGCACAGGGCAUCUCCAACGUUGAACCAUCAAAACGCCCGUAAAUGCUUAGGUCGGGCUGUGCCGUCCGAGCAUUUUUACGAUUUUGACAUGGAUCACCGAAUCGUGUCAGACCGUUCGGACGUCCGAAAUCUUGUAACGUAAGUCGGGUCUACAUCAAGGGUGCUCUUUCGAAGAAGUCAUCGUCUCUUCAUAGGAUUUUGUUGGUCGAAGUAUCGGUGCACGCGCCUGUUUCGUCCGGCUUUAUAUCGGCAUCACUCUUCACAAGUCUAUUAUUUUGAAGACUGGUUUUUCUUCUUCGAAAAGCCGGUCUCCGCAUCAGGGUAAUGCAUAAAUUUAUUUUAUUAAUUAUUCGUCAAGACCUUAUAAAGUUGGGUGUGCCUAGGUCUAAGUCAAGUCUCAGCCAAAUGACAUAGUAUAUAAUAAUAAGAAGAAAAAUAAAAUAAACAAUUGUAUGAAUCUCCAUGCAAGAUCAAGGGGGAUAUAGCAUCGACUGAGACAUAACGAAGACUCGGUCGACCGAGACUUAACAAAACUGCACAAAGUAAUACAUCAAUAAGUCUAAAGCCAACCGGGGAGCAGUUGGGGGCUCCGGCGCAAGGGAAAAGCAUGGCUGGCCCACGCCGUCAGGGGAAAAGUCAAGGUCUUCUUCCCCGAUUCGCCUCCCACCCCCCGUGCCCUCGGCCACCACUAGCUAUAUCCCGGCGCCGCCCGCCGCCCUUCACCGCUAGAUAGCCAUUCCCCGUCGGAAAAAUAGCAGCGCUUCGCAGCGGCAGCCCCUCCAACAGCAGCUGGGCGUUUCCGACCGCCGUUCCCGACCGCGAAGGAGAAGUUUAACGGCGGGUACACACCUACCGGGUGCAAGGUGUUCGAUGAUUUGCCUGCCUCGGUGAUGGACUCGGAUGACGAGGAAGCGCUCACCGCGCUGCUGGAGGAGGAAGCCGAGGCAGACGUUGCUACCUCUUGAGCACUGCGUUGGAUUUCCCCGAAUAGGAGAGGAUGAUGCAGCAAAGUAGCGUAAGUAUUUUCCUCAGUUUCUGAGAACCAAGGUAUCAAUCUAGUAGGAGGCCACGCACAAGUCCCUCGUACCUACACAAAAACAAUAGCUCAGCGCAACCAACGCGCUUAGGGGUUGUCAAUCCUUUCACAGUCACUUACGAAAGUGAGAUCUGAUAGAGAUGAUAAAUAAUAUUUUUGGUAUUUUUGAUAUAGAGAUGCAAAGUAAAAAGUAAAAGCAAAGCAAUAAUAAAGUGAUGGAGAUUGAUAUAAUGAGAAAGAGACCCAGGGGCCAUAGAUUCCACUAGUGGCUUCUCUCAAGAGCAUAAAUAUUCUACGGUGGGUGAACAAAUUACUCUUGAGCAAUUGACAGAAUUGAGCAUAGUUAUGAGAAUAUCUAGGUAUGAUCAUGUAUAUAGGCAUCACGUCCGAGACAAGUAGACCGAAACGAUGCUGCAUCUACUACUAUUACUCCACUCAUCGACCGCUAUCCAGCAUGCAUCUAGAGUAUUAAGUUAAAAACAGAGUAACGCCUUAAGCAAGAUGACAUGAUGUAGAGGGAUAGUUUCAUGCAAUAUGAUAAAAACCCCAUCUUGUUAUCCUCGAUGGCAACGAUACAAUAUGUGCCUUGCUGCCCCUUCUGUCACUGGGAAAGGACACCGCAAGAUCGAACCCAAAGCUAAGCACUUCUCCCAUGGCAAGAACAACCAAUCUGGUAGGCCAAACCAAACUGAUAAUUCGAAGAGACUUGCAAAGAUAACCAAUCAUACAUAAAAGAAUUCAGAGAAGAUUCAAAUAUUAUUCAUAGAUAGACUUGAUCAGAAACCCACAAUUCAUCAGUCUCAACAAACACAAUGCAAAAUGAAGAUUACAUCGAAUAGAUCUCCACGAGAGAGGGGGAGAACAUUGUAUUGAGAUCCAAAAAGAGAGAAGUAGCCAUCUAGCCACUAGCUAUGGACCCGUAGGUCUGAAGUAAACUACUCACACUUCAUCGGAGAGGCUUGGAUGAUGAUGUAGAAGCCCUCUGUGAUCGAUGCCCCCUCCGGCGGAGCUCCGGAACAGGCCCCAAGAUGGGAUCUCGUGGAUACAGAAAGUUGCGGCGGUGGAAUUAGGUUUUUGGCUCCGUAUCUGAUCGUUUGGGGGUACGUGGAUAUAUAUAGGAGGAAGAAGUACGUCGGUGGAGCUUCGAGGGGCCCACGAGGCAGGGGGCGCGCCCUCCACCCUCGUGACCGCCUCGUGGCUUUCUUGACGGAGGGUCCAAGUCUCCUGGAUCUUAUCUGAUGAGAAAAUCACGUUUCCGAAGGUUUCAUUCCGUUUGGACUCCGUUUGAUAUUCCUUUUCUUCGAAACCCUAAAACAGGCAAAAAACAGCAAUUCUGGGCUGGGCCUCCGGUUAAUAGGUUAGUUCCAAAAAUAAUAUAAAAGUGGAUAAUAAAGCCCAAUAUAGUCCAAAACAGUAGAUAAAUAUAGCAUGGAGCAAUCAAAAAUUAUAGAUACGUUGAAGACGUAUCAAGCAUCCCCAAGCUUAAUUCCUGCUCGUCCUCGAGUAGGUAAAUCAUAAAAACAGAAUUUUUGAUGCGGAGUGCUACUUGGCAUAAUUUCAAUGUAAAUCUUCCUAAUUGUGGUAUGAAUAUUCAGAUUCAAAAGAUUCAAGACAAAAGUUCAUGUUGACAUAAAAAUAAUAAUACUUCAAGCAUACUAACAAAGCAAUUAUGUCUUCUCAAAAUAACAUGGCCAAAGAAAGCUAUCCCUACAAAAUCAUAUAGUCUGGCUAUGCUCUAUCUUCACCACACAAGGUAUUUAAAUCAUGCACAACCCCGAUGACAAGCCAAGCAAUUGUUUCAUACUUUUGACAUUUUCAAAACUUUUUCGAUCUUCACGCAAUACAUGAGCGUGAGCCAUAGAUAUAGCACUAUAUGUGGAAUAGAAUGGUGGUUGUGGAGAAGACAAAAAGGGAGAAGAUAGUCUCACAUCAACUAGGCGUAUCAACGGGCUAUGGAGAUGCCCAUCAAUAGAUAUCAAUGUGAGUGAGUAGGGAUUGCCAUGGAACGGAUGCACUAGAGCUAUAAGUACAUGAAAGCUCAACGAAAGAAACUAAAAUGGGUGUGCAUCCAACUCGCUUGCUCACGAAGACCUAGGGCAUUUUGAGGAAGCCCAUCAUUGGAAUAUACAAGACAAGUUCUAUAAUGAAAAAUCCCACUAGUAUAUGAAAGUGACAGAAUGAGAGACUCUCUAUAAUGAAGAUCAAGGUGCUACUUUGAAGCACAAGUGUGGUAAAAGGAUAGUAACAUUGUCCUUUCUCUCUUUUUCUCUCAUUUUUUUAUUUGGGCUUUCUCCUUUUUUUAUGGUCUCUUUUUUCGUCUAGAGUCUCAUCCCGACUUGUGGGGGCAUCAUAGUCUCCAUCAUCCUUUCCUCACUUGGGACAAUGCUCUAAAAAUAAUGAUCAUCACACUUUUUAUUUUUCUUACAACUCAACAAUUACAACUGGAUACUUAGAACAAGAUAUGACUCUAUAUGAAUGCCUCCGAGGGUGUACCGGGAUAUGCAAUGAAUCAAGAGUGACAUGUAUGAAAGAAUUAUGAACGGUGGCUUUGCCACAAAUACGAUGUCAACUACAUGAUCAUGCUAGCAAUAUGACAAUGAUGGACCGUGUCAUAAUGAACGGAACGGUGGAAAGUUGCAUGGCAAUAUAUCUCGAAAUGGCUAUGGAAAUGCCAUGAUAGAUAGGUAUGGUGGCUGUUUUGAGGAAGGUAUUUGGUGGGUGUAUGAUACCGGCGAAAAGUGCGCGGUAUUAGAGAGGCUAGGAAAGGUGGAAGGAAGGAAAGUGCGUAUAAUCCAUGGACUCAACAUUAGUCAUAAAGACCUCAUAUACUUAUUGCAAAAAUCUAGAAGUUAUCAAAGCAAAGUAUCACGCGCAUGCUCCUAGGGGGAUAGAUUGGUAGGAAAAUACCAUCGCUCGUCCCCGACCGCCACUCAUAAGGAAGACAAUCAAUAAAUAAAUCAUGCUCCGACUUCAUCACAUAACGGUUCACCAUACGUGCAUGCUACGGGAAUCACAAACUUUAACACAAGCAUUUCUCAAAUUCACAACUACUCAACUAGCAUGACUCUAAUAUCACCAUCCUCAUAUCUCAAAACAAUUAUCAAGCAUCAAUUUUUUCUUAGUAUUCAACGCACUCAAAAGAAAGUUUUACAAAUCUUGAAUACCAAGCAUAUUAUUAUUAAACAAAUUACCAUGCUAUUAAUACUCUCAAAAUAAUCUAAGUGAAGCAUGAGAGAUCAAUAGUUUCUAUAAAACAAAUCCACCACCGUGCUCUAAAAGAUAUAAGUGAAGCACUAGAGCAAAGUUAUAAAGCUCAAAAGAUAUAAGUGAAGCACAUAGAGUAUUCUAUCAAAUUCCAAAUUAUUUAUGGAUCUCUCAAAAGGUGUGUACAACAAGGAUGAUUUUUGUAAACUAAUAAGCAAAGACUCAAAUCAUAAAAGAUGCUCCAAGCAAAACACAUAUCAUGUGGUGAAUAAAAAUAUAGCUCCAAGUAAAGUUACCGAUAGAAGUAGACGAAAGAGGGGAUGCCUUCCGGGGCAUCCCCAAGCUUUGGCUUUUAGGUGUCCUUAGAUUAUCGUGUGGGUGCCAUGGGCAUCCACAAGCUUAGACUCUUUCCACUCCUUGUUCCAUAGUCCAUCCAAUCUUUACCCAAAACUUGAAAACUUCACAACACAAAACUUAAAGUAGAAACUCGUGAGCUCCGUUAGCGAAAGAAAACAAAAGACCACUUCAAGGUACUGUAAUGAACUCAUUAUUUAUUUAUAUGGGUGUUAUACCUACUGUAUUCCAACUUGUCUAUGGAUUAUAAACUAUUUUAGUAGCCAUAGAUUCAUCAAAAUAAGCAAACAACACACGAAAAACAGAAUCUGUCAAAAACAGAACUGUUUGUAGUAAUCUGUAGCUAGCGCAAGAUCUGGAACCCCAAAAAUUCUAAAAUAAAUUGAUGGACGUGAGGAAUUUAUAUAUUAAUAAUCUCCAAAAAUAAUUAACUAAAUAUCACUCUUAAAAUAAAAAUGACAGCAGUUCUCGUGAGCGCUAAAGUUUCUGUUUUUUACAGCAAGUUCAACAAGACUUUCCCCAAGUCUUCCCAACGGUUCUACUUGGCACAAACACUAAUUAAACACAAAAAACACAACCAAAGCAGAGGAUAAAUAAUUUAUUUAUUAAUAAACAGGAGCAAAAAGCAAGGAAUAAAAAUAAAAUUGGGUUGCAUCCCAAUAAGCGUUAUCGUUUAACGCCCCUAGCUAGGCAUAACAAGCAAGAAUAGAUCUAGGUAUUGCCAUCUUUGGUAGGCAAUCCAUAAGUGGCUCUCAUAAUAGAUUCAUAUGGUAAUUUUAUUUUCUUUCUAGGGAAGUGUUCCAUGCCCUUUUUUAAUGAAAAUUGGAAUCUAAUAUUCCCUUCCUUCAUAUCAAUAAUUGCACCAACCGUUCUAAGGAAAGGUCUACCGGGAAUAAUAAGGCAAGAAGGAUUGCAAUCUAUAUCAAGAACGGUAAAAUCUACGGGCACAUAAUUCCUAUUUGCAACAAUAAGAACAUCAUUAAUUCUUCCCAUAGGUUUCUUAAUAGUGGAAUCCGCAAGAUGCAAGUUUAGAGAGCAAUCAUCAAAAUCACGGAAAUCUAGCAAAUCGCACAAAGUUUUGGGAAUAGUAGAGACACUAGCACCCAAAUCACACAAAGCAUAAAACUCAUAAUUUUUAAUUUUAAUUUUAAUAGUAGGUUCCCACUCAUCAUAAAGUUUUCUAGGGAUAGAAACUUCCAAUUCAAGUUUUUCUUCAUAAGAUUGCAUCAAGGCAUCAGCGAUAUGUUUAGUAAACGCUUUAUUUUGACUAUAAGCAUGAGGAGAUUUUAGCACGGAUUGCAACAAGGAAAUACAAUCAAUCAAAGAGCAAUUUUCAUAGUUAAAUUCCUUGAAAUCCAUAAUAGUGGGUUUAGCAAUAUCUAGGGUUUUAAUUUCUUCAAUCCCACUUUUAUCGAAUUUAGCAUCAAGAUCAACAAAUUCCGAAUUCUUAGAACGCCUUCUAGGUAAAGGUGGAUCAUAUUCAGUCCCAUCAUUAUCAAGAUUCAUAUUGCAAAACAAAUAUUUAAUAGGGGACACAUCAAUAACUUUUAGAUCUUCAUCAUUAUUUUCAUAGGAACUAGAAGAACACGCUUUUACAAAAGCAUCUUUCUUAGCACGCAUCCUAGCGGUUCUUUCUUUGCACCCGUCAAUGGAAAUUCUCAUGGCUUUGAGAGACUUAUUGAUAUCAUGCUUAGGUGGAAUAGAUCUAAGUUUCAAAGAAUCAACAUCAAGAGCAAUUCUAUCACCGUUCCUAGCCAAAUCAUCAAUCUUAAGCAAUUUUUCUUCAAUCAUAGCAUUAAAAUUCUUUUGCAAAGAAAUAAAUUAUUUAAUAUUAGAUUCAAAAUCAGACUGCAUCUUAUUAUAAUUUCCAUAAGAAUUGUUGUAGGAAUUACCAUAAUUAUUAGAGGGAUUACUAGGAUAAGGCCUAGGAUUGAAAUUUUCUCCAUACGCGUUGUUACCAAAAUUGUUCCUACCAACAAAAUUCACAUCCAUAGAUUUAUUAUUAUUCUCAAUAAAAGUAGACAAGGGCAUAUCAUUAGGAUCAGAAGAAACACUCCUAUUGGCAAAUAAUUUCAUAAGUUCAUCCAUCUUUCCACUCAAAACAUUAAUUUCUUCUAUCGCAUGCACCUUUUUAUUAGAUCUUUCAGUAUGCCAUUGAGAAUAAUUAACCAUAAUAUUAUCUAGGAUUUUAGUAGCUUCUCCUAAAGUGAUUUCCAUAAAAGUGCCUCCCGCGGCCGAAUCUAAAAGAUUUCUAGAAGCAAAAUUCAAUCCGGCAUAAAAAAUUUGUAUAAUCAUCCACAAAUUCAAACCAUGAGUAGGGCAAUUACGUAUCAUUAAUUUCAUUCUCUCCCAAGCUUGUGCAACAUGUUCAUGAUCAAGUUGUUUAAAAUUCAUAAUAUCAUUUCUAAGAGAGAUGAUCUUAGCGGGAGGAAAAUACUUAGAGAUAAAAGCAUCUUUGCACUUGUUCCAUGAAUCAAUACUAUUUUUAGGCAAAGAUGAAAACCAAGCUUUAGCACGAUCUCUAAGCAAAAAAGGAAAUAACUUCAAUUUAACAAUAUCAUUAUCGACAUCUUUCUUCUUUUGCAUGUCACACAAAUCAACGAAGCUAUUAAGAUGGGUAGCGGCAUCUUCACUAGGAAGGCCGGAGAACAGAUCUUUCAUGACAAGAUUCAACAAAGCAGUAUUAAUUUCACAAGAUUCAGCAUCGGUAAGAGGAGCAAUCAGAGUGCUAAGGAAAUCAUUAUUGUUGGUAUUGGUGAAGUCACACAAUUUAGUAUUAUCUUGAGCCAUCGCGACAAACAAGCAAUCCAACACACGAGCAAACAAAAAGCAAACGGGCAAAAGAGGCAAAUAGAGAGGGAGGAUAGAGAGAGAGGGGGCAAAUAAAAUGGCAAGGGUGAAUUGGGGGGAAAGGAAAACGAGAGGCAAAUGGCAAAUAAUGUAAUGCGGGAGAUAGGGAUUGUGAUGGGUACUUGGUAUGUUGACUUUUGCGCAGACUCCCCGACAACGGCGCCAGAAAUUCUUCUUGCUACCUCUUGAGCACUGCGUUGGAUUUCCCCGAAGAGGAGAGGAUGAUGCAUCAAAGUAGUGUAAGUAUUUCCCUCAGUUUUUUAGAACCAAGGUACCAAUCCAGUAGGAGGCCACGCACAAGUCUCUCAUACCUACACAAAAACAAUAGCUCAACACAACCAACGCGCUUAGGGGUUGUCAAUCCCUUCACAGUCACUUACGAAAGUGAGAUCUGAUAGAGAUGAUAAAUAAUAUUUUUGGUAUUUUUGGUAUAGAGAUGCAAAGUAAAAAGUAAAAGCAAAGAAAUAAUAAAGUGAUGGAGAUUGAUAUAAUGAGAAAGAGACCCGGGGGCCAUAGGUUUCACUAGUGGCUUCUCUCAAGAGCAUAAAUAUUCUACGGUGGGUGAACAAAUUACUGUUGAGCAAUUGACAGAAUUGAGCAUAGUUAUGAGAAUAUCUAGGUAUGAUUAUGUAUAUAGGCAUCACGUCCGAGACAAGUAGACCGAAACGAUUCUGCAUCUACUACUAUUACUCCACUCAUCGACCGCUAUCCAGCACACAUCUAGAGUAUUAAGUUAAAAACAGAGUAACGCCUUAAGUAAGAUGACAUGAUGUAGAGGGAUAGUUUCAUGCAAUAUGAUAAAACCCCAUCUUGUUAUCCUCGAUGGCAACGAUACAAUACGUGCCUUGCUGCCCCUUCUGUCACUGGGAAAGGACACCGCAAGAUCGAACCCAAAGCUAAGCACUUCUCUCAUGCCAAGAACAACCAAUCUAGUAGGCCAAACCAAACUGAUAAUUCGAAGAGACUUGCAAAGAUAACCAAUCAUACAUAAAAGAAUUCAGAGAAGAUUCAAAUAUUAUUCAUAGAUAGACUUGAUCAUAAACACACAAUUCAUUGGUCUCAACAAACACACCGCAAAAAGAAGAUUACAUCGAAUAGAUCUCCACGAGAGAGGGGGAGAACAUUGUAUUGAGAUCCAAAAAGAGAGAAGAAGCCAUCUAGCCACUAGCUAUGGACCCGUUGGUCUGAAGUAAACUACUCACACUUCAUCGGAGAGGCUUGGAAGAUGAUGUAGAAGCCCUCCGUGAUCAAUGCCCCCUCCGGCGGAGCUCCGGAAUAGGCCCCAAGAUGGGAUCUCGUGGAUACAGAAAGUUGCGGUGGUGGAAUUAGGUUUUUGGCUCCAUAUCUGAUCGUUUGGGGGUACGUGGAUAUAUAUAGGAGGAAGAAGUACGUCGGUGGAGCUUCGAGGGGCCACGAGGCAGGGGGCGCGCCCUAGGGGGGAGCCCUCCACCCUCGUGACCGCCUCGUGGCUUUCUUGAUGGAGGGUCCAAGUCUCCUGGAUCUUAUCUGAUGAGAAAAUCACGUUUCCAGAGGUUUCAUUCCGUUUGGAAUCCGUUUGAUAUUCCUUUUUCUUCGAAACCCUAAAACAGGCAAAAAAUAGCAAUUCUGGAUUGGGCCUCCGGUUAAUAGGUUAGUUCCAAAAAUAAUAUAAAAGUGGAUAAUAAAGCUCAAUAUAGUCCAAAACAGUAGAUAAUAUAGCAUGGAGCAAUAAAAAAUUAUAGAUACGUUGGAGACGUAUUAGACGUCCAGGAAGAAGAGCAUCUGAUGGUGCUCGCCGCCCUCGCCCAGCUGCUGGCGAGCAAUGAAAAGCCGCGGCAAGGUGGCUCGGCGCCUGGGCUGGUGAAAGCAAAGAACCGGCAUCGUCUCGAAGGCUACUACAUGCUCUACUCCGACUACUUCGCCGAUGCUCCACUUCACGGCGAGAAAACAUUUCGGCGCCGUUAUCGGAUGAGCCGAAAGCUCUUCCUCAGGAUUGUGAAUUCCAUCCGGGAGUUCGAUAACUACUUCAAGUGCAAGAUGGAUUGCACCGGCGCUCUUGGAUUCACCUCCAUCCAGAAGUGCACGACAGCGAUGAGGAUGCUUGCAUAUGGAGCUCCCGGUGAUUCACUCGAUGACUAUGGGCGCAUGGCCGAGUCCACCAGCAUAGAGUGUUUCUACAAGUUCUGUCGGGCAGUGGUGGCAGUGUUUGGACCACAAUACUUGAGAACACCCAAUGCGGAAGACACUGCUCGGAUCCUAGCACAAAAUGCAGCAAGAGGACUUCCUGGGAUGCUUGGAAGCAUCGACUGCAUGCAUUGGAAAUGGAAGAAUUGCCCAUUUGCUUGGCAGCGGAUGUACAAAGGCGCCAAAGGUGGUUGCAGUGUCGUGCUUGAGGCGGUGGCUGCACAGGACCUUUGGAUUUGGCACUCCUUCUUUGGUAUGCCAGGAACUCACAAUGACAUCAACGUGCUACAGUGCUCUCCUGUCUUUGCCAAGCUUGUUGAAGGUCAUUCUCCUCCGGUGAACUUCGAGAUCAAUGGGCAGCACUACAACAAGGGGUACUAUCUAGCUGAUGGCAUCUAUCCGAGAUGGUUGACAUUUGUGAAGACCAUCUCAAAUCUUGUGCCAGGAGGCAAGAACGCCUGGUUUGCGAAGAUUCAGGAGGCGCGCAGGAAGGAUGUCGAGCGGGCAUUUGGUGUGCUCCAAUCUCGAUUUGCUGUUGUCCGGUACCCCGCUCAGACGUGGUCCAAAGAUCAAAUGUGGGAGAUUAUGACUUGCUGUGUCAUCUUGCUCAACAUGAUCAUCGAGAGCGAGCAAGAAGACCCAGUGUUUGACACUGAACCAUACUACUGUUGGGGAACAUAGUAAUUUCAAAAAAAUUCCUACGCACACGCAAGAUCAUGGUGAUGCAUAGGAACGAGAGGGUAGAGUGUUGUCUACGUACCCUCGUAGACCGGAAGCGGAAGCAUUAGCACAACACGGUUGAUGUAGUCAUACGUCUUCACGGCCCGACCGAUCAAGCACCGAAACUAUGGCACCUCCGAGUUCUAGCACACGUUCAGCUCGAUGACGAUCCUCGGACUCCGAUCCAGCAAAGUGUCGGGGAAGAGUUCCGUCAGCAUGAAGGCGUGGUGACGAUCUUGAUGUUCUAUCGUCGCAGGGCUUCGCCUAAGCACCGCUACAAUAUUAUCGAGGAUUAUGGUGGAGGAGGGCACCGCACACGGCUAAUAGAUCUCAAUGAUCAAUUGUUGUGUCUUUGGGGUGCCCCCUGGCCACGUAUAUAAAGGAGUGGAGGAGGGGGGAGAGGGCCGGCCCCUAUGGCGCGCCUUGGAGGAGUCCUACUCCCACCGGGAGUAGGAUUCCCCCCUUUCCAAGUAGUAGGAGUAGGAGUCAAGGCAAGGGAAGAGAGAAGAGAAGGAAGGAGGGGGCGCAACCCCUCCCCCUAGUCCAAUUCGGACUAGGCCUUGGGGGGCGCCCAACCUCUCCUCUCUCUUUCCCCUAAAGCCCAAUAAGGCCCAUAUACUCCCCGGCGAAUUCCCGUAACUCUCCGGUACUCCAAAAAAUAUCCGAAUCACUCGGAACCUUUCCGAUGUCUGAAUAUAGUCGUUCAAUAUAUCGAUCUUUACGUCUCGACCAUUUCGAGACUCCUCGUCAUGUCCCCGAUCUCAUCCGGGACUCCGAACUCCUUCGGUACAUCAAAACUCAUAAACUCAUAAUAUAACUGUCAUCGAAACCUUAAGCAUGCGGACCCUACGGGUUCGAGAACAAUGUAGACAUGACCGAGACACGUCUCCGGUCAAUAACCAAUAGCGGAACCUGGAUGCUUAUAUUGGCUCCCACAUAUUCUACGAAGAUCUUUAUCGGUCAGACCGCAUAACAACAUGCGUUGUUCCCUUUGUCAUCGGUAUGUUACUUGCCCGAGAUUCGAUCGUCGGUAUCUCAAUACCUAGUUCAAUCUCGUUACCGGCAAGUCUCUUUACUCGUUCCGUAAUACAUCAUCCUGCAACUAACUCAUUAGUUGCAAUGCUUGCAAGGCUUAAGUGAUGUGCAUUACCGAGAGGGCCCAGAGAUACCUCUCCGACAAUCGGAGUGACAAAUCCUAAUCUCGAAAUAUGCCAACCCAACAAGUACCUUCGGAGACACCUGUAGAGCACCUUUAUAAUCACCCAGUUACGUUGUGACGUUUGGUGGCACACAAAGUGUUCCUCCGGUAAAUGGGAGUUGCAUAAUCUCAUAGUCAUAGGAACAUGUAUAAGUCAUGAAGAAAGCAAUAGCAACAAACUAAACGAUCAAGUGCUAUGCUAACAGAAUGGGUCAAGUCAAUCACAUCAUUCUCCUAAUGAUGUGAUCCCGUUAAUCAAAUGACAACUCAUGUCUAUGGUUAGGAAACAUAACCAUCUUUGAUAAACGAGCUAGUCAAGUAGAGGCAUACUAGUGACACUCUGUUUGUCUAUGUAUUCACACAUGUAUUAUGUUUCCGGUUAAUACAAUUCUAGCAUGAAUAAUAAACAUUUAUCAUGAUAUAAGGAAAUAAAUAAUAACUUUAUUAUUGCCUCUAGGGCAUAUUUCCUUCAACUACAGGCAGGGUCCUCUAACCGAAGUUGAUCACCAGCUACCGGCAACUUGGACUGCCUAUCUCAGUAUGCGUCAGGAGAUCCGAGACCCACAGGUGCAUCAUCAACUGCAGAAAGAUCUGAUUGAGCACCUAUGGAGGCUCAAGGGGGACGCCGUGUGAUGAAAUACGAGUUUUUAUUUGUUGAACUAUAUAAUUUUUAUUGAACUAUUUGUUGUUGUACUAUUUUGUUGAAGUAUUUGAUUUUUCUAUGAUGAAAUAUGUGGCAAGAAAAAAUUGUGUUGAUAAUUGAACGCCGAGACACGGUGAACCACGCCGAAUAUGGGUCUAUUCUCGCCCAUAUGGGCCCUUCAUUCGUCGAAAUGGGGCUGCAAAGUGGGCCAAUUUCGGCGCCUGGGGGCGAGCUGGGGGCGAUGACUGGGCGCAAAACCGCCCCCAGCGCCGAUUGUAUCGCCGGCUCGCCCCCAGGGGGCGAUUUUUAUGCGUCCUGGGGGGGUCAACGGCUGGAGAUGCUCUAACGGUUGCGCAAGUCCAUGGAGGGCUCCACCCACGAAGGGUCCACGAAGAAGCAACCUUGUCUAUCCCUCCAUGACCAUCGCCCACGAAGGACUUGCCUCACUAGGGUAGAUCUUCACGAAGUAGGCGAUCUUCUUACCCGUACAAACUCCUUGGUUCAACUCCACAAUCUUGUCGGAGGCUCCCAAGUGACAGCUAACCAAUCUAGGAGACACCACUCUCCAAAAGGUAAUAGACAGUGUGUUGAUGAUGAACUCCUUGCUCUUGUGCUUCAAAUGAUAGUCUCCCCAACACUCAACUCUUUCUCACUGAUUUGGAUUUGGUGGAAAGAAGAUUUGAGUGGAAAGCAACUUGGAGAAGGCUAGAGAUCAAGAUUCAUAUGGUUGGAAUGGAAUAUCUUGGUCUCAACACAUGAGUAGGUGGUUCUCUCUCAGAAAAUGAAUGUUAGAAGUGUAGGCAUGUUCUGAUAGCUCUCUCCAUGAAUGAAGAGUGGGUGAAGGGGUAUAUAUAGCCUCCACAUAAAAUCUAACCAUUACACACAAAUCACCAAACUUGGUGGGACCGAAUAAUGAAACUCGGUCAGACCGAUUUAGUUCAAAAUGUGAACAUUAGGCUUUUCGUUGGGACCGACAUGUCAACUCGGUGUGACCGAUUUCAUUAGAGUUAGGGCAUAAUGUAAUCUCGAUGAGACCGAUUACACAAACUCGGUGGGACCAAUUUUGGUAAUAAGCUAACCAGAGAGUUGGUCAGGCAAACUCGGUGGGACUGAUUCGCUCAUCUCGGUGAGAUCGAAACGUUAAGAAGGGGAAACAGAGAGUUUGCAUUGCGAACUCGGUGGGACCGAUCGCUCAUCUCGGCGAAAUGUUAUGAAGGGAAACAUUGAGUUUGCAAUCCCAUCUCGGUGAGACCAAGAUCCCUAUCGGUAAGACCGAAGUGACUAGGGUUUGUGGCAGUGGCUAUGUCAAAUGAACUUGGUGCGUCGGAUAGAACAUUUCGGUGGGGACGAGUUUGACUUUUGGUUUGGGACAUAUGUGGAUAUGAGAAAGUGGUUGAGGGCUUUGGAGCAUAUCACUAAGCAUUUUGAGCAAGCAAGCCAUUAAGCAACACCUCAUCCCUUUUAAUAGUAUUGACUUUUCCUAUGGACUCAAUGUGAUCUUGGAUCACUAAAAUGAAAAUGUAGAGUCUUGAGCUUGAGCCAAUGUGUGUUCUUAGCAUUUUGAGGGGUCCACAUUCCUAAUCCAUGCCAUGCCAAUCAUUGAACUUUCUGAAAUGAUCAUCUUGAAAUAGCAUUAGUUCAAUGAGCUAUAUGUUGUUAGUAAUUACCAAAACCACCUAGGGAUAGUUGCACUUUCAAUCUCCCCUUUUUGGUAAUUGAUGACAACAUAUAGAUUAAAGCUUCGAUAAAUGAUAAUAAGAUUUAAAGUACAUCGUCGCUUUGAGAAGUAUGUGAUAAGCAAGAGCUCCCCCUAAAUUUGUGCAUUAUUUAAAAUUUGCUUUUGAAUGCAAAUGCACAAUCGGUUAGGAUUAUGGGUUACUCUUCCAUGUCACAUACAUCUUGGUGGAGCGCUCAAAAUGAUAGGAAUUAAAACAUGCACUCAUCACCAAGCAAAGUGAAUGAUCAUAUAGGGAUAUAAGAGAUAAUAUCAUCCAGGCAAGCAUUAAAAUAGCAUAUGAUCAAACAAGUAUCUCACACAAACAUAGAGUAUCAACCAAGCACACAAUAAAGUUCAACCAAAAUCAAGAGAGACAAAGAAGCAAAAACACACUCUCUCUCGAAGCCUAUGAUCUAUACAUUUCUCCCCCUUUGGCAACAAGUUACCAAAAAGUUCAAAAAUGCAUAGUGCUAUGCAUCUCUCAGGCUUGGUCUUCGAGAGGUGGUGUAGAGAGAACUCCAAGGACGAAGGCAUCUGUUGAUGUAGUUGGAGCUGGUGGAGUGGGUUGCACUUUCAAUACCUACACGGGUUAGUCCCACAAAGAACAAACAAGGAUAUCCAUAGACAUAGAGUGAUGAUCACAUAAGAUGAUGUCCAUGAAAGCAUUAGGUUACCUUGUCCCUUGUCUUACCAACAAGAGGGUUUGUGACUCCUAGAACUAGUGCAAGAUGUGGAAGUUGUUUGCACAUGUCCUUGCCAAAAGAUAUGAGUGAAGUAUGUUGGCGUAGUCACCCUCAAGAACUCUCUAGUUCUUCUUCUUCGGGAUCCACAUCAUCUUGAUGGGAAUCCUUGGAGUUGUAGUUGUACUUGAUGUGGUAGAACUUGAUGUAGUCUUGGGAACCCACUUGACCAAGGCCUCGGGAGCUUCUUCAAAUGCAUCAAUCUCCUCUUGAAGCUUGUCCUUCCCUUUUAGCUUGUGGUCUUGUGGUGGAAGAUCAUCUUGAGCUUGUGUCCCUUGGAAUGAAGUAGGAUCAUACUUCUCUUGUUGAGGAACAAACUUCGUCUUGGGGUAUUGAUCUUCUUCCCACUCAACUUCAUUGGCAUUGAACUUCCAUUCAAAACCAACACCUUGAUUCUUCUGGUGUCUUCCUUGCUUGCGUACAAUUUCCUCAAAUUGCUUACUUCCGACAAGGCUCUUGUAAACACCUUUCUCUAUAAUUCCAUUUAAUAAGCUAUUUCCUUGCUCAAGUGUAAAUUGGCUAAGAGAAUCAUUAGUGGAAUCAAGAGAACUACUAGAAGCAACAAUAUUGGAUUUAACAUGAUUUUUGUUACUACCAGAAGAAGAACCUUUCUUACUCUUAUUGCUAGAUUUAACUUGUGGCAUGUAAGUAUACAAGAGUAAACGCUUGGCAAUGUAAGAAGAACUUUUCUUGCGAAGAUCAUCAUUGAUUGCCUUUAAGAACUCAUGCUCUUGCUCAAGGUUGAGCUUUUCAAAGCGUAAUUUCUCACGAGUCUUUAAAAGUUCUCGAUGAUCUUCCAAGGUAGUUUCAUGAGCUAACUUAAGAGUGUUUAGUUCUUUAGUCAGACGCUCAAUCUCCUUCUUAUAAUCGUCAUUUGUUUUAUAUUGAUUAUCAUGAUUAAUAGUAAGUUCAUCAUAGUUUUCAUAACUAUAGUUGUCAACAAGUAAAUCAUCAUCUUCUAGCAAAUCAUCUUCAUCACUAUUGAAAUCAACAUACUCGGGGUGUGAUACCUUUGGGCCUUUAGCCAUGAAGCAUAUUCCAAUUCCUUCAUUUGGUGAGUCAAAUAUGUCGUAGGAGUUGGUUGACACAAGUGCUAGAUCGGCAACACCUUCAUCUUGAGUUUAUUCGGAGUCGGAGUGAUAACUUCUCUCGGAGUGAUUGUCGGAGUCGGAGCCGGAUACCCAUUCACCAACAUGAGCUUGAUGUCUUCAUUUUGUGUAGCUCCUUGAUGAUUUGUCCUUCCUUCCUGAAUCAUUGCUUCUCCGUGAUGUUCUUCGUUCAUAAAGGUCAUCUCUACUCCUUCUCUCUCUAGGUGGUGAUUCUUCUCUUCUACUUCUCCUUUUGGGUGAAUCUUCUCUUCUUUUGUAGGGAGCCAUACACUCAUUGGAGUAGUGUCUGGGUCUUCCACAAUUGUAGCAAUUUCGUUCAUGACUUGAAGAUCUUUUUUCAUUGUAGGACCUUGACUUGGAACUUCUCUCCUUGCUUAUACUCUUGUAGAACUUGUUGAAGUUCUUCACCAUUAGGCUCAAUUCUUCAUUGAAGGUUUGUUUCUCACUUGAUGAUGUGGGAGCAUCACAUGAGGCUUUGUAAGCACCACUUGACUUGUUGUGAAGCUCUUCCUUAUCCUCGAGUGACAUCUCAUGAGCAACAAUUCUUCCAAUGACUUCUGUUGGCUUGAGAUCUUCGUAAUUGGGCAUCAUUUGAAUCAAUGUACACACGGUAUUAUAUUUUCCAUCCAAGGCUCUUAGGAUAUUCUUGAUGAUGAAUCUGUCGGUCAUCUCUUCACUUCCUAAGCCGCCAAUCUCAUUUGUGAUGAGAGCAAGCCUAGAGUACAUUCCAGCGACACCUUCACCAUCCUUCAUUUUGAACCUGUCAAGUUGACUUUGAAGCACAUCCAAUUUGGAUUCCUUGACGGAGUUGGUACCUUCGUCAUAUCAAUCAAAGUAUCCCAAAUUUCCUUUGCAUUCUCAAGACAGCUGAUUUUGUUGAAUUCUUUGGGGCACAAUCCGUUGAAGAGGAUAUCACAAGCCUGAGCAUUGUAUUGCAGCAUCUUCAACUCUUCCGCGGUAGCUUCACGGUUUGGUUCUCUCCCAUCAAAUAAUUUACCUUGCAAGCCAAUACACACAAUAGCCCAAACGGAGGGGUUAUGUCCAAGAAUAUGCAUUUUCAUCUUAUGCUUCCAACUAGCAAAAUUAGUACCAUCAAAGUAAGGACCUCUACGGUGGUAAUUUCCCUCACUAGACGCCAUACUCUCCUAGGUUGUGAAACCAAGGUUGUGAUCACCAAACGCUAUGGAAAUCAAGGCAAAUGGAGACCAAAGCUCUAAUACCACAUGUAGGAUCGAAAGUAUGUCUAGAGGGGGGGGGGUGAUUAGACUACUUGACCAAAUAAAAAUCUAGCCUUUUCCCAAUUUUAAGUCUUGGCGGAUUUUAGCAACUUAGCACUAGUCAAGCAAUCAACCUACACAUGCAAGUCUAAGAGUAUAUCAGCAGAAUGUAAAACAUUGCACAUCAAGGUAAAGGGAGGAGUUUGGAGGGAGCAAACGCAAUGUAGACACGGAGAUUUUUGGCGUGGUUCCGAUAGGUGGUGCUAUCGUACAUCCACGUUGGUGGAGACUUCAACCCAUGAAGGGUAACGGUUGCGCGAGUCCACGGAGGGCUCCACCCAUGAAGGGUCCACGAAGAAGUGAUACGUCUCCGUCGUAUCUACUUUUCCAAACACUUUUUCCCUUGUUUUGGACUCUAACUUGCAUGAUUUGAAUGGAACUAACCCGGACUGACGCUGUUUUCAGCAGAAUUGCCAUGGUGUUAUUUUUGUGCAGAAAUAAAAGUUCUCGGAAUGACCUGAAAAUCAACGGAGAUUAUUUUUGGAAUAUAUAAAAAAUACCGGUGAAAGAAUUAACGUCAGGGGGCCCACACCCUUUCCAUGAGGGUGGGGGGCACGCCUACCCCCCUGGGCGUACCCCUUGCCUCGUGGGCCCCCUGAUGCUCCUCCGACCUCAACUCCAACUCUAUAUAUUCGUGUUCGGGGAGAAAAAAUAUCAGACAGAAGGAUUCAUCGCGUUUUACGAUACGGAGCCGCCGCCAAGCCCUAAACUCUCUCGGGAGGGCUGAUCUAGAGUCCGUUCGGGGCUCCGGAGAGGGGAAUCCGUCGCCAUUGUCAUCAUCAACCUUCCUCCAUCACCAAUUUCAUGAUGCUCACCGCCGUGCGUGAGUAAUUCAAUCGUAGGUUUGCUGGACAGUGAUGGGUUGGAUGAGAUUUAUCAUGUAAUCGAGUUAGUUUUGUUAGGGUUUGAUCCCUAGUAUCCACUAUGUUCUGAGAUUGAUGUUGCUAUGACUUUGCUAUGCUCAAUGCUUGUCACUAGGGCCCGAGUGCCAUGAUUUCAGAUCUGAAUCUAUUAUGUUUUCAUGAAUAUAUGUGUGUUCUUGAUCCUAUCUUGCAAGUCUAUAGUCACCUAUUAUGUGUUAUGAUCCGUUUACCCCGAAGUGACAAUAAUCGGGAUACUUACCGAUGAUGACCUAGUUUGAGGAGUUCAUGUAUUCAUUAUGUGUUAAUGCUUUGGUUCGGUACUCUAUUAAAAGAGGCCUUAAUAUCCCUUAGUUUCCAAUAGGACCCCGCUGCCACGGGAGGGUAGGACAACUUGCUAGGGUUAGAGAGAAUGAAAUUAUUGAAACUGAUAAUAUUGAUGAAAAUGAUGAUGAAGAUUCUCCCCCUAGAUAUGAAUUGUCUAUUGUGCCUGAGGGUUAUGUUAUGGAUGAAGAAAUUGCUAGAGACUUCUUAGCUUAAAAUGAUAGAUCUGAUCUUAAGAAAUUAUUAGCUAAGCUUAAAGAAAACUCUUUGAAUGCUAGAAUGAAAUAUGACCCUGCUUUUACUACUUCACCUAUCUUUAUUAUCAAUAAGGAUCAUGAUUUCUCUGUCGAUCUGAGUUAAUUACUUUGGUUGAAUCUGAUCCUAUUUAUGGCUAUGAAUCUAAAACUAUCGUGGCACAUCUUACUAAAUUAAAUGAUAUAGCCACCCUGUUUACUCAUGAUGAGAAAGCUCGCUAUUACUUUAUCCUUAAGUUGUUUCCGUUCUCAUUAAAGGGUGAUGCUAAAACAUGGUUUAAUUCUCUUAAUCUUGGUUGUGUGCGUAGUCCCCAGGAUAUGAUUUAUUACUUCUCUGCUAAAUAUUCCCCCGCUCAUAAGAAACAACCUGCUUUAAGGGAAAUAUAUAAAUUUGUGCAAAUUGAAGAAGAGAGUCUCCCACAAUCUUGGGGGAGGCUUCCCGAUUACUUAAUGAUUUGCCUGAUCAUCCUCUCAAGAAAACUGAAAUAGUUGAUAUCUUUUAUAAUGGACUAACCAAUGCUUUCAGAGACCACCUGGAUAGUUGUGCUGGUUGUGUUUUCAAGGAAAGAUCUGUUGAUCAAGCUGAAUUGCUAUUGAAUAAUAUGUUGAGUAAUGAAAAUUAUUGGACACUUCCUGAACCACCUCCUAAGCCAACUCCAAAGAAAAGAGGCAUUCUAUUUCUCAGUCUUGAAGAUAUGCAAGAGGCAAAGAAAUCUAUGAAAGAAAAAGGUAUUAAAGCUGAAGAUGUUAAGAAUUUACCACCUAUUUAAGAAAUACAUGGUUUUGAUAACCCGACACAGGUAGUAAACGUAAAUUCUAUCUAUAGAUUUGAUGAAGGUGAUAUUCCUCGUUAUAAGUCUGCUAGCCUAUGCUUAGAUGAGUUUGAUAAUUUUAUGGUUAAACAAGAAGACUUCAAUGCUUAUGUUGGUAGACAAUUAAAACGCAAUGCUGAUAUGAUUGAACACUUGAGUGAUUAUAUGGCUAGUGUUAAGGGUGAACUUAAUCUUAUUAGUAAACAUGCUUCUAUGGUUACCACUCAAGUAGAACAAGUACUUAAAGCUCAGAAUGAUUUUCUCAAUGAACUAAAUAGUAAGAAUGAUGUCGUGGUGGGCGCACGGCAGAUGCCAAGGGAUGGCUAAGGAGAGGAGGAGGCUCAAGGGCGCUGGUGGACUCCAGAGGCGGGGUUGGCAUGAGCGGGCGCGGGAUGCCGGACAUACCCAGGUUCGAGGCUCUUCGGAGAGAUAAUACCCCUAGUCCUGCCGAGUGUAGUUGGAUGAUCCAUAGUACAAUGUUGCUCCUGGAGCUGUAUGGAGGAGGAAGGAAGCUAGCCAAGGCUUGGGCUGCUCCUUCUCUCCGGUGUUGCUGUUUUGUGGCUAGCCCUAUGCUCACUUGCUUUUCUCUCGUAUGUGUUUUUUGUUUGCCCUCUCGCUCGCCCUCCGGAGAGAUGAUUCCUUUCUCAUGAUCGUGGGCUCCCGGGGGGUUUUAUAGUCCAACCCCUCGGGGGUACAAUGGUAGUGUUACAAGUUGGUGGGUCCGUAUUGUUAGUGUCCGGGGACCCGGGCUGGGUCCCGUUGAGGGCUUGUGGUUCGCCGGGUUCCCCUAGGUGCGGGCCCCGCAUGCCUAGGGGGACUGUGCGCCGUCUUGUCGAUCGUCAGGGUGUGGCCGAGUCGAGUCACGUACAGUGCUCUCCGUCAGGUUGCCGCUUGCUGUCGUUAGCGGUGAGGGCGGGGGCACUGUAGCCACGCCGGCCCUGGUCAGCGAGUAGGUGAGGGGCACUGUUGCCACGUACCCGCUGACCAGAGGCAUGGGCGGGGCACUGUUGCCUCGGUCAUUGUUGAUUGAAGUCUCGUCCCCAUCAUACGGCCUGGAUGGGACGUGAGUUGACCCACGGCUAGAUUGCGUAGCACACCACGGGUGGCGCUGGCUUGUUGAGGAGGCUUUGGUCGUACCGGGUUCGGCUGUCUUGCGCUAGUUGUUGGGACCGAGUCGACGUGUCUUGCCGGGUCGGCUAGUCUGGCCAGCUUGCGGGGCUUGGCCGGGUCGAGCGACCCAGCCAAGCACGUGCCGGUAUUGAGGGGCGAUGCCAACCCCAUUGUUUUUUGAAGAGGAUCCGGGUUCCGUUGCCUGCCCGGGGUCCAUCCCUCCGACAGUAGUCCCCGAAGCUGUGAAGGUCCGUCGUCUUCAGAUGAGUGGGCCUUCACAGUUUCCCCCUUAAGAAAGGUGGAUUCUACGAGCGUCGGGUCCGGCAACACCCACUGUGUGCCGGUUUUCUCUGAAACCGGAUCGUGGCAUCUCGGCCGUGGCGGGAACCGAGAAGUCCGUCGAAUCUUGGGGCAAUCCCUCAGGCUUUGCGCGUAGCAAAGACAGAGCCAACUAGGAGGUGUUGAAUGGUUUCGUCAUGUUGGUUGCAAAGAGGGCAGGAGUACGUCCUGGUGAGGUAGUCCACGGCGGGCCAACUGGUCCGAUGUCCAGCAUCUGUUCUUGAGGGCAAGCCAGGCGAAAAAACAACACUGCAAGGGCGCCUUCGACUUCUAGGUGAACGUCGCUGAUAGGGAGACCACACGCCCCAUGAAACCUACGGCAUAGGCAGAUCUAGCCGAAAAUUGCCCGUCCUUCUCCCAUGACCAUGUCACCACAUCCUCAACGUCAUUCGUAAGCUGUCUUCCCGAGAUUAGGGGCCAUCAAGGCCUGAAUCUAUCAAUUGAAAUAAAGUACCUUGUUCGCAUUUUAUUGCGGCUCAUCCUCGCGGUUAGCCUACCGGCUACCGGCAAAUAGCCUGCAGAUCGGCGCUCGCCCACAGCCGUCCCUUCUCCGCUUCUCUUGAUGGUUGUGCGACAAAAAGUUGCGUAGAGAUCGCAUAGGCGAUAGCAGGCAGUGACUGGCGGCAGAUGUGAAUCUCAAUCGCAGCAGGCGACUGUGUAACGAAGCCAUAGCACGAACUGUGUGUGCGUGACCACGUGGCUGCGUGCAACUACCCGCUAAUUGGCCCCUUUGUCACCUAUGAUGGGCUGCGUAAGCGAUGAACAGUUGGGUAGCAGGAAAAAUAGCAAAAAAUUGAUUGCUAUUAACGAGGCGACGCGAUCGGUAGGGGGGUCUCGCCCCCCCCCCCCUCGUCCCUCCUUGAAUCCGUCCCUGCCCGUACCUUCAUUGGUCGUUGGGCAUGUCGUCAUCCACGGCUCCGUCCAUUGUGAAGGUGGAGCCGAUCAGAAGAGGAGUUCACGUAGUAGAUGGAGGAGGUGAUGCGCCGGUCGAUGACCGACCAUGGUCAGGCGCCGUCGUCGCCUCCGCUGAACCACGACAUCUAGAUCGGACGUCGCGUCAAGGAGGUGCCACCAUCCCCUCCGCACAAUCACGACAUCAAGAUCGGGCGUUGCGUCAGUCGUCCCCUAUGCAUAACCGCGGCUCACAUUGGACGUUGCGCCAAGGAGAAUCCAUCAUCUCCUCCGUGCAACUGUGGAGUCCAGAUCAAAUGCCGCAUCAAAGAGGAGUCGUCGUCCCCUCCGCACCGCCAGCCAGGCACACGACGCCCUAUCCUCCCAACUGUCAAGAAGGUGGAGCCGUCCUUCCUACUAUCGAAGCCGUCACCAUGGCUCCACUACUACCUCAAAAGGGGUCGGCGUCCAAGUGGCAAGGCGCCUGGUGGCAUUCGCAAGCCCCAUGUGGCGCCAACUUGGGUGCUCGUAGAGCUCACGCUUGCGAAGGAUUGGGCCCUUGAUCAGUCCAGUACCAGUGUACCACACCCUCGAGUCGGACACUCGCCGCUGUCAUCAGCGUCGGAUCAACACCCAACUCCUUCAAGUGGGGCUGGAGGAGUCUAAGCGAGCCAUCUGUCUCCAAACCGAGAACAAGCGGCGCAAGGCGACGACCAAAGAGGGAUGUCGCGAUGCCUGGAGGGCCUUCCACCACCGACGCCAUGACAACGACGACGACAACAACGGCGCAUGUGGCGGUGUCGACGAGGGCUUGGAUGACGGCGGGGGUGCUGGUGGCCUCGUAGGGAGUCGAGCCGGAUAUCCGCAGACAAGUUUUGAACGGUUUGCGGACAUUUGGUGAUGUCUAUGUGGUGAUCCGCGUUGGAGAUGCACGACAUGGCCGGAUAAUUUUGUCAAGUGCGCACGCAUGCGUUUUGCUAUAGUUGUAUCCUACCUAAAUUUCCAUUUUUGUACUUAUAGGUUAGCAACACUGGCGCAUGCCUGAACGUUAGAUGGUGGACAGCAAGACCCACCCAUGUUGCCGUGUAUUCAAGUGUUCCCCGUUGCUUUCAAAAUGCUACGCGGUCCAUGGUACGUACGCGGAGGCAGACAUUACAUUAAGCACCAAAAAUAGAAGAUCGCCGCAUUCAAUCAUCCGAUCUAGCGUAGCGUAGCUGGGUCGGGGCGGUGUUGACAUGUGUGCAGCUGGGUUGGGCAGGGACACGGCGUCACUGCCCCCCCAUCAGGGCAUUAUGGUGUCCAUCCCUGAUGCUGAUGGCGAUGCAUCACUGCUACUCGUGCACACGGCACGGCGUGUUUUCUUGGACCAGAUCUCCCAAGCGUAUGAUGGAUGCGUCGCCCAACGCUCGAUGAGAAGCACUGGAUCAAAGCACAAGGCAAACCUUUUUUGUUUCUCUGGCUCGUUGGCGGGGCGGUAGAGUAUAUUUCACAAAAAUACUACGUAUCACAAUUCAGGCAACCCUCCCUCGAACUAUCACUUAUCACUUACCGGGCAUCUCCAACGGCGACCAGCAAAUUUCUUCUGGCAUCCAUCCGCGGACAGGGAAGAGUUAGUCCACGGACAUGGAUGCGAGAUGCUGCCAUCCAACUGUGCCCGUAUACGGUUUAAACAAUUUUUCAGCAAACCAGAUAAAAUUCAUGCAAACAUGACACGAUUUCAUAUAAAAAUGUCAGAUUUUAUACAAACACGGCGCACUUUCAUUAGAUUUUGAACAUUUAGAAGAAAAACGACCCGAUCCUAAACCUAUCCUGCGGCGGUGGCGCCCGGCGUCCAAGCCCUUCCCGUCCUCCAUCCAUCGUCUUUAUGACCACUAGCGAUAAGACCGAUGAAGUGAAGCUGCAAUCUAAGGCGAGGAAGAGAAGAACGAGACGGACCGGCUCACAUGAGACACAAGGCCCUGCCGUCUUCCAUGCCCUACUCAUCCUCGGAGGAGUCCGUGCCUUGAACGUCGCCGGUGGACAUGAGGUCCACGAUGGAAAUGGUGGCGCCUGCGCUGUCGUCGUCCCACCGGGCCGCCGGACGGUUCGCCAGCGACGCGUCGGAGGCGCAACUGGUGUUGUUCUCCUCCGCGACCUCCUGGAGCUGCGCCUCCGCGGUGGUCGCUUCCUGGUGAGUAACGGCUUGAGCGCGGACGACAUCAUAGAUGGCAAGCUGCUUCGCAUCGAAGUUGGGGUUCGUCGCGGCCAUGGCCGCCACGGCCUCCUCGCCCGUGCGCUCGCCGUAGAUCUGGCCCUCCACCAGCCGGUGAUGCUCCAGGAGAAACAUGCUACACCGAUGUUCCUCCGGCGCCUGCUGGAACGCCGACAUAGGCGCCGGUGCAGGCUGCACCUCCGUCGUGGUGGCGUUAUAGUGUGCCUGCUCCAUGGUGAAGUCGGCGCGGGAGCCAAGGCGCUGUCGUCGGAACCCGUCUCCAUCGUGGUGUCGUCUUCGUCGUCGAAGACCUCGGGCGAGCUGGCCGGCAAGCCGGCCUUGAUUUGCCUGGCACAACGGCUCUGGUAGGCGGCGACAAGGGUGACCACCACAUGCUUCAUCUUUACGGAAAGGCUCGCCCAUAGAGCUUCGUCGCCUGUAGUCAUGGCGGAUGCAGUGCAAGAGACGAGGAUUGGGAGAGGGCUUGUGUUGUGGCAUGGAGUAGCCGGGUGUGGCCGCCUUUAAAUAGCGGAUUCCGGUGAGGCCAGACUUACGGGUGCUCAAUGUGCGGUCGAAGUGUGUUUCUCGGCCGGCGAACCUGCUUAAUGACGGCAUACGGACGGACAGGGCAUUGAACGUGCGUGAUAGAUAUACGUCUCAUCCUGCCCAGUAAUGUGUCUCUGGCUGAACAGGCGCGGGCACCGGAGACGCGUCACGGGCAGCGCCCUCGGCCGGCGUGCUGCUUCAAUUGGCGGAUGCAAUGAGAGGUCGCUUCCGUCCUGAGCCGUCUUUAAUGUGGAGCGGUGCGCUCUACAACGACAUGAAUGCGGUCGAGGAAGGAAAGGAUUUGGUGGGUCAGGAUGGUUAGAAGCAGGCGCAGGAGCAAUCCGGACUCCCGCAAAACCCCCCACAUUUGUCUCCGGUAUGUGAGAGAAAACGCGUCCAAGCUAUCAUGCAAAUCGAUACAGAUCUAUGUUAAAUGGUUUCCGCUAUUCGAACGGACGUGAACGAUUUGUGGAUCGGCUUUAGAGAUGCCUUACAAUUUUUGUCGGAGCAAGAACUCAGUGACAUAGGACCAGCCGUCCACGAACAAUCUCCCGUCACAGUGGUGUAGUCCGCGCGCGUCAUCACGCGCUGCCUGGAAACCAUCUGUUUUUUUUUAUACAUCCAUUUCUUUAAUAAGUAUUUUCAGACGGAAGGAGUAAUAAAGAGAACUUCCUUUCUAAUUUUCAUUUAACUGAAACCAUCUGUCCUUUUACAGUUUGAGAAAUCAAGAAAUAGUGUUGCGUCUGAUAAUGACAGACCUUGUGUUGUUGUUAACAUGAUUGCUACUCCCUCCGUUCCAUAUUAUCCGUCGCUGAUUUAGUACAAAGUUGUACUAAAGCGACAAGUAAUAUGAAAUGAAGGGAGUAGAUAAUGAUUUAACGAUUGGGUGAUUUUGCAGAAAAAACAGGAAAAUCAAGAGUGUUCGAAACGGAUAGUAAGUGAAGUCUUCAAAACGGUAUAUGGUUCUGAAGUGCUGCUGCUUCUUCCCUAUAGUACGUCUGUUACAGUACCUCUGCUAUAGACUUCAUGUGCUGGCGUUUUAGGGAAUGUUUUGUUGGCAAUGUACUACUCCCUCCGUCCCAUAAUGUAAGACUUUUUUUGACUUAAAAAAAAAAACGUCUUACAUUAUGGAAUGAAGGAAGUAAUGUAUAGUUUUUGGUACUUGCUCAUGGUUGCAGAGGCAGUGUCUGACUUGUUGCCUGU
This 86447-nucleotide long non-coding RNA is filed under the name Triticum aestivum (bread wheat). RNAcentral describes it as "long non-coding RNA (TAES_LNC001966)". The stretch from base 47682 to 47786 matches the Rfam family "MIR1120/MIR1122 microRNA precursor family". Lineage: Eukaryota; Viridiplantae; Streptophyta; Magnoliopsida; Poales; Poaceae. The record is from RNAcentral.